RNAcentral lists this long non-coding RNA (86154 nucleotides) under Arabidopsis thaliana (thale cress). RNAcentral describes it as "long non-coding RNA (ATHA_LNC000153)". The record is from RNAcentral. Lineage: Eukaryota; Viridiplantae; Streptophyta; Magnoliopsida; Brassicales; Brassicaceae.
CCGAAGAAAAGAGGGAUGCAACACGAGGACUUUCCGGGAGGUAAUCCAUCCUAGUACUACUCUCGCCCAAGCACCCUUAACUGCGAAGUUCUAAUGGAAUCCGGUACAUUAGUGCUGGUAUGAUCGCAUCUGUUACUAUAUGCAAUGUAAUCGUAUCUAUUCUUUUUUAAAGACUUUAUGAUCCAUUUGCCGUGGGUCUCACCAGCUAUGUAGGAAUACCCUAUCUUCUUUAUAAGAGCUUUGAUAUAUGCAAAAUAUUGGAACACCAUGUCCGAACAUAUAAUUUUUCCCGUGUAAUAUAGCAAAGAUCAAGAAAAAGCCAAAAAAGUACAUUUAGGUCAAAAUUUGAGUAGAAAAAAACAAAUAGAAGAAUUCUAUAUUCCUUCCUCAUUCGUCGGAGAGCUCUCUUUGGGCUUUCCGAAAAGGUAUCAUAUGCCAAGUUUGGCCUCGCGGUCUAAAAGUUACGGAGUCUAACAUUUUUAACAAAACAAAAUAGAGAAAAACCGAAAAAAGAGGGAUGCAACACGAGGACUUUCCGGGAGGUCACCCAUCCUAGUACUACUCUCGCCCAAGCACCCUUAACUGCGGAGUUCUGAUGGGAUCCGGUGCAUUAGUGCUGGUAUGAUCGCAUGUGUUACUACAUGCAAUGUAAUCGUAUCUAUUCUUUCUUAAAGACUUUAUGAUCCAUUUGCCGUGAGUCCCACCAGCUAUGUAGGAAUACCCUAUCUUCUUUAUAAGAGCUUUGAUACAUGCAAAAUAUUGGAAAACAAUGUCCGAACAUAUAGUUUUCCCCCCGUAAUAUAGCAAAGAUCACGAAAAGGCCCGAAAAAGUACAUUUAGUUCAAAAUUUGGAGUAGAAAAAAAAACAAUAGAAGAAUUCCAUUUUCCUUCCUCAUUCAUCGGAGAGCUCUCUUUGGGCUUUCCGAAAAAGUAUCACAUGCCAAGUUUGGCCUCACGGUCUAAACGUUAUAGAGUCAUACAUUUUUAACAAUACAAAAUAGAGAAAAACCGAAAAAAGAGGGAUGCUACACGAAGACUUUCCGGGAGGUAAUCCAUCCUAGUACUACUCUUGCCCAAGCACCCUUAACUGCGGAGUUCUGAUGGAAUCUGGUGCAUUAGUGCUGGUAUGAUCGCAUGUGUUACUACAUGCAAUGUAAUCGUAUCUAUUCUUUUUUAAAGACUUUAUGAUCCAUUUGCCGUGGGUCCCACCAGCUAUGUAGGAAUACCCUAUUUUCUUUAUAAGAGCUUUGAUACAUGCAAAAUAUAUGAAAAAAACGUUCGAACAUAUAAUUUUCCCCCCGUAAUAUAGCAAAGAUCACGAAAAGGCUCGAAAAAUUACAUUUAGUUCAAAAUUUUUAGUAGAAAAAACCCAAUAGAAGAAUUCCAUUUUCCUUCCUCAGUCAUCGGAGAGCUCUCUUUGGGCUUUCCGAAAAGGUAUCACAUGCCAAGUUUGGCCUCACGGUCUAAAAGUUAUAGAGUCAUACAUUUUUAACAAAACAAAAUUGAGAAAAACCGAAAAAAAGAGGGAUGCAACACGAGGACUCUCCAAAAGGUAACCCAUCUUAGUACUACUCUCGCCCAAGCACCCUUAACUGCGGAGUUCUGAUGGGACCCGGUGCAUUUGUGCUGGUAUGAUCGCAUGUGUCACUACAUGCAAUGUAAUCGUAUCUAUUCUUUUUUAAAGACUUUAUGAUCCAUUUGCAGUGGGUCCUACCAGCUAUGUAGGAAUACCCUACCUUCUUUAUAAGAGCUUUCAUACAUGCAUAAUAUUGGAAAACAAUGUCCGAAGAUAUAAUUUUCCCCCCAUAAUAUAGCAAAGAUCACGAAAAGGCCCGAAAAAGUACAUUAUGUUCAAAAUUUGGAGUCGAAAAAAAACCAAUAGAAGAAUUCCAUUUUACUUCCUUAGUCAUCGGAGAGCUCUCUUUGGGCUUUCCGAAAAGGUAUCACAUGCCAAGUUUGGCCUCACGGUCUAAAAGUUAUAGAGUCAUACAUUUUUAACAAAACAAAAUAGAGAAAAACGGGAAAAAAGAGGGAUGUAACACGAGGACAUUCCGGGAGGUCACCCAUCCUAGUACUACUCUUGCCCAAGCACCCUUAACUGCGGAGUUCUUAUGGGAUCCGGUGCAUUAGUGUUGGUAUGAUCGCAUGUGUUACUACAUGCAAUGUAAUCGUAUCUAUUCUUUUUAAAGACUUUAUGAUCCAUUUGCCGUGGGUCCCACCAGCUAUGUAGGAAUACCCUAUCUUCUUUAUAAGAGCUUUGAUACAUGUAAAAUAUUGGAAAACAAUGUCCGAAGAUAUAAUUUUCCCCCGUAAUAUAGCAAAGAUCACGAAAAGGCCCGAAAAUGUACAUUAAGUUCAAAAUUUGGAGUAGAAAAAAAAAACAAUAGAAGAAUUCCAUUUUCCUUCCUCAUUCAUCGGAGAGCUCUCUUUGGGCUUUCCGAAAAGGUAUGACAUUCCAAGUUUGGCCUCAUGGUCUCAAAUUUAUAAAGUCAUACAUUUUUCACAAAAAAAAAAUAAAGAAAAACCAAAAAAAAAAAAGAGGGAUGUAACACGAGGACUUUUUUGGGAGGUCACCCAUCCUAGUACUACUCUCGCCCAAGCACGCUUAACUGCGGAGUUCUGAUGGGAUCCGGUUCAUUAGUGCUGGUAUGAUCACAUGUGUUACUACAUGCAAUGUAAUCGUAUCUAUUCUUUUUUAAAGACUUUAUGAUCCAUUUGCCGUGAGUCCCACCAGCUAUGUAGGAAUACCCUAUCUUCUCUAUAAGAGCUUUGAUACAUGCAAAAUAUUGGAAAACAAUGUCCGAACAUAUAGUUUUCCCCCCGUAAUAUAGCAAAGAUCACGAAAAGGCCCGAAAAAGUACAUUUAGUUCAAAAUUUGGAGUAGAAAAAAAAACAAUAAAAGAAUUUCAUUUCCCUUCCUCAGUCAUCGGAGAGCUCUCUUUGGGCUUUCCAAAAAGGUAUCACAUGCCAAGUUUGGCCUCACGGUCUAAAAGUUAUAGAGUCAUACAUUUUUAACAAUACAAAAUAGAGAAAAACCGAAAAAAAAGAGGGAUGCAACACGAGGACUUUCCGGGAGGUAAUCAAUCCUAGUACUACUCUAGCCCAAGCACCCUUAACUGCGGAGUUCUAAUGGAAUCCAGUGCAUUAGUGCGGGUAUGAUCGCAUGUGUUACUACAUGCAAUGUAAUCGUAUCUAUUCUUUUUUAAAGACUUUAUGAUCCAUUUGCCGUGGGUCCCACCAGCUAUGUAGGAAUACACUAUCUUCUUUAUAAGAGCUUUGAUACAUGCAAAAUAUUGGAAAAAAACGUCCGAACAUAUAAUUUUCCCCACGUAAUAUAGCAAAGAUCACGAAAAUGCCCCAAAAAGUACAUUUAGUUCAAAAUUUGGAGUAGAAAAAAAAACAAUAGAAGAAUUACAUUUUCCUUCCUCACUCAUCGGAGAGCUCUCUUUGGGCUUUUCGAAAAGGUACCACAUGCCAAGUUUGGCCUCACGGUCUAAAAGUUAUAGAGUCAUACAUUUUUAACAAAAUAAAAUUGAGAAAAACCGAAAAAAAGAGGGAUGCAACACGAGGACUCUCCAGAAGGUAACCCAUCUUAGUACUACUCUCGCUCUUGCACCCUUAACUAUGGAGUUCUGAUGGGACCCGGUGCAUUAGUGCUGGUAUGAUCGCAUCUGUUACUAUAUGCAAUGUAAUCGUAUCUAUUCUUUUUUAAAGACUUUAUGAUCCAUUUGCCGUGGGUCCCACCAGCUAUGUAGGAAUACCCUAUCUUCUUUAUAAGAGCUUUGAUAUAUGCAAAAUAUUGGAUUACCAUGUCCGAACAUAUAAUUUUUCCCGUGUAAUAUAGCAAAGAUCAAGAAAAAGCCAAAAAAGUACAUUUAGGUCAAAAUUUGAGUAGAAAAAAACAAAUAGAAGAAUUCCAUUUUCCUUCCUCAUUCACCGUAGAGCUCUCAUUGGGCUUUCCGAAAAGGUAUCAUAUGCCAAGUUUGGCCUCACGGUCUAAAAGUUAUAGAGUCUAACAUUCUUAACAAAACAAAAUAGAGAAAAACCGAAAAAAGAGGGAUGCAACACGAGGACUUUCCGGGAGGUCACCCAUCCUAGUACUACUCUCGCCCAAGGACCCUUAACUGCGGAGUUCUGAUGGGAUCCGUUGCAUUAGUGCUGGUAUGAUCGCAUGUGUUACUACAUGCAAUGUAAUCGUAUCUAUUCUUUCUUAAAGACUUUAUGAUCCAUUUGCCGUGCGUCCCACCAGCUAUGUAGGAAUACCCUAUCUUCUUUAUAAGAGCUUUGAUACAUGCAAAAUAUUGGAAAACAAUGUCCGAACAUAUAGUUUUCCCCCCGUAAUAUAGCAAAGAUCACGAAAAGGCCCGAAAAAGUACAUUUAGUUCAAAAUUUGGAGUAGAAAAAAAAACAAUAGAAGAAUUCCAUUUUCCUUCCUCAGUCAUCGGAGAGCUCUCUUUGGGCUUUCCGAAAAGGUAUCACAUGCCAAGUUUGGCCUCACGGUCUAAACGUUAUAGAGUCAUACAUUUUUAACAAUACAAAAUAGAGAAAAACCGAAAAAAAGAGGGAUGCAACACGAAGACUUUCCGGGAGGUAAUCCAUCCUAGUACUACUCUUGCCAAAGCACCCUUAACUGCGGAGUUCUGAUGGAAUCUGGUGCAUUAGUGCUGGUAUGAUCGCAUGUGUUACUACAUGCAAUGUAAUCGUAUCUAUUCUUUUUUAAAGACUUUAUGAUCCAUUUGCCGUGGGUCCCACCAGCUAUGUACGAAUACCCUAUCUUCUUUAUAAGAGCUUUGAUACAUGCAAAAUAUAUGAAAAAAACGUCCGAACAUAUAAUUUUCCCCCCGUAAUAUAGCAAAGAUCAUGAAAAGGCCCAAAAAAGUACAUUAAGGUCAAAAUUUGGCGUAGAAAAAAAACCAAUAGACAUAUUCCAUUGGCCUUCGUCAUUCAUUGGAGAGCUCUCUUUGGGCUUUCCGAAAAGGUAUCACAUGCCAAGUUUGGCCUCACGGUCUAAAAGUUAUAGAGUCAUACAUUUUUAACAAUACAAAAUAGAGAAAAACCGAAAAAAAGAGGGAUGCAACACGAGGACUUUCCGGGAGGUAAUCCAUCCUAGUACUACUCUCGCCCAAGCACCCUUAACUGCGGAGUUCUAAUGGAAUCCGGUGCAUUAGUGCUGGUAUGAUCGCAUCUGUUACUAUAUGCAAUGUAAUCGUAUCUAUUCUUUUUUAAAGACUUUAUGAUCCAUUUGCCGUGGGUCCCACCAGCUAUGUAGGAAUACCCUAUCUUCUUUAUAAGAGCUUUGAUAUAUGCAAAAUAUUGGAUUACCAUGUCCGAACAUAUAAUUUUUCCCGUGUAAUAUAGCAAAGAUCAAGAAAAAGCCAAAAAAGUACAUUUAGGUCAAAAUUUGAGUAGAAAAAAACAAAUAGAAGAAUUCCAUUUUCCUUCCUCAUUCACCGCAGAGCUCUCUUUGGGCUUUCCGAAAAGGUAUCAUAUGCCAAGUUUGGCCUCACGGUCUAAAAGUUAUAGAGUCUAACAUUUUUAACAAAACAAAAUAGAGAAAAACCGAAAAAAGAGGGAUGCAACACGAGGACUUUCCGGGAGGUCACCCAUCCUAGUACUACUCUCGCCCAAGGACCCUUAACUGCGGAGUUCUGAUGGGAUCCGUUGCAUUAGUGCUGGUAUGAUCGCAUGUGUUACUACAUGCAAUGUAAUCGUAUCUAUUCUUUCUUAAAGACUUUAUGAUCCAUUUGCCGUGCGUCCCACCAGCUAUGUAGGAAUACCCUAUCUUCUUUAUAAGAGCUUUGAUACAUGCAAAAUAUUGGAAAACAAUGUCCGAACAUAUAGUUUUCCCCCCGUAAUAUAGCAAAGAUCACGAAAAGGCCCGAAAAAGUACAUUUAGUUCAAAAUUUGGAGUAGAAAAAAAAACAAUAGAAGAAUUCCAUUUUCCUUCCUCAGUCAUCGGAGAGCUCUCUUUGGGCUUUCCGAAAAGGUNNNNNNNNNNNNNNNNNNNNNNNNNNNNNNNNNNNNNNNNNNNNNNNNNNGAGAAAAACCGAAAAAAGAGGGAUGCAACACGAGGACUUUCCGGGAGGUCACCCAUCCUAGUACUACUCUCGCCCAAGGACCCUUAACUGCGGAGUUCUGAUGGGAUCCGUUGCAUUAGUGCUGGUAUGAUCGCAUGUGUUACUACAUGCAAUGUAAUCGUAUCUAUUCUUUCUUAAAGACUUUAUGAUCCAUUUGCCGUGCGUCCCACCAGCUAUGUAGGAAUACCCUAUCUUCUUUAUAAGAGCUUUGAUACAUGCAAAAUAUUGGAAAACAAUGUCCGAACAUAUAGUUUUCCCCCCGUAAUAUAGCAAAGAUCACGAAAAGGCCCGAAAAAGUACAUUUAGUUCAAAAUUUGGAGUAGAAAAAAAAACAAUAGAAGAAUUCCAUUUUCCUUCCUCAGUCAUCGGAGAGCUCUCUUAGGGCUUUCCGAAAAGGUAUCACAUGCCAAGUUUGGCCUCACGGUAUAAACGUUAUAGAGUCAUACAUUUUUAACAAUACAAAAUAGAGAAAAACCGAAAAAAAGAGGGAUGCAACACGAAGACUUUCCGGGAGGUAAUCCAUCCUAGUACUACUCUUGCCAAAGCACCCUUAACUGCGGAGUUCUGAUGGAAUCUGGUGCAUUAGUGCUGGUAUGAUCGCAUGUGUUACUACAUGCAAUGUAAUCGUAUCUAUUCUUUUUUAAAGACUUUAUGAUCCAUUUGCCGUGGGUCCCACCAGCUAUGUACGAAUACCCUAUCUUCUUUAUAAGAGCUUUGAUACAUGCAAAAUAUAUGAAAAAAACGUCCGAACAUAUAAUUUUCCCCCCGUAAUAUAGCAAAGAUCAUGAAAAGGCCCAAAAAAGUACAUUAAGGUCAAAAUUUGGCGUAGAAAAAAAACCAAUAGACAUAUUCCAUUGGCCUUCGUCAUUCAUUGGAGAGCUCUCUUUGGGCUUUCCGAAAAGGUAUCACAUGCCAAGUUUGGCCUCACGGUCUAAAAGUUAUAGAGUCAUACAUUUUUAACAAUACAAAAUAGAGAAAAACCGAAAAAAAGAGGGAUGCAACACGAGGACUUUCCGGGAGGUAAUCCAUCCUAGUACUACUCUCGCCCAAGCACCCUUAACUGCGGAGUUCUAAUGGAAUCCGGUGCAUUAGUGCUGGUAUGAUCGCAUCUGUUACUAUAUGCAAUGUAAUCGUAUCUAUUCUUUUUUAAAGACUUUAUGAUCCAUUUGCCGUGGGUCCCACCAGCUAUGUAGGAAUACCCUAUCUUCUUUAUAAGAGCUUUGAUAUAUGCAAAAUAUUGGAUUACCAUGUCCGAACAUAUAAUUUUUCCCGUGUAAUAUAGCAAAGAUCAAGAAAAAGCCAAAAAAGUACAUUUAGGUCAAAAUUUGAGUAGAAAAAAACAAAUAGAAGAAUUCCAUUUUCCUUCCUCAUUCACCGCAGAGCUCUCUUUGGGCUUUCCGAAAAGGUAUCAUAUGCCAAGUUUGGCCUCACGGUCUAAAAGUUAUAGAGUCUAACAUUUUUAACAAAACAAAAUAGAGAAAAACCGAAAAAAGAGGGAUGCAACACGAGGACUUUCCGGGAGGUCACCCAUCCUAGUACUACUCUCGCCCAAGGACCCUUAACUGCGGAGUUCUGAUGGGAUCCGUUGCAUUAGUGCUGGUAUGAUCGCAUGUGUUACUACAUGCAAUGUAAUCGUAUCUAUUCUUUCUUAAAGACUUUAUGAUCCAUUUGCCGUGCGUCCCACCAGCUAUGUAGGAAUACCCUAUCUUCUUUAUAAGAGCUUUGAUACAUGCAAAAUAUUGGAAAACAAUGUCCGAACAUAUAGUUUUCCCCCCGUAAUAUAGCAAAGAUCACGAAAAGGCCCGAAAAAGUACAUUUAGUUCAAAAUUUGGAGUAGAAAAAAAAACAAUAGAAGAAUUCCAUUUUCCUUCCUCAGUCAUCGGAGAGCUCUCUUUGGGCUUUCCGAAAAGGUAUCACAUGCCAAGUUUGGCCUCACGGUCUAAACGUUAUAGAGUCAUACAUUUUUAACAAUACAAAAUAGAGAAAAACCGAAAAAAAGAGGGAUGCAACACGAAGACUUUCCGGGAGGUAAUCCAUCCUAGUACUACUCUUGCCAAAGCACCCUUAACUGCGGAGUUCUGAUGGAAUCUGGUGCAUUAGUGCUGGUAUGAUCGCAUGUGUUACUACAUGCAAUGUAAUCGUAUCUAUACUUUUUUAAAGACUUUAUGAUCCAUUUGCCGUGGGUCCCACCAGCUAUGUACGAAUACCCUAUCUUCUUUAUAAGAGCUUUGAUACAUGCAAAAUAUAUGAAAAAAACGUCCGAACAUAUAAUUUUCCCCCCGUAAUAUAGCAAAGAUCACGAAAAGGCUCGAAAAAUUACAUUUAGUUCAAAAUUUGGAGUAGAAAAACCCCAAUAGAAGAAUUCCAUUUUACUUCCUUAGUCAUCGGAGAGCUCUCUUUGGGCUUUCCGAAAAGGUAUCACAUGCCAAGUUUGGCCUCACGGUCUAAAAGUUAUAGAGUCAUACAUUUUUAACAAAACAUAAUAGAGAAAAACGGGAAAAAGAGGGAUGUAACACGAGGACUUUCCGGGAGGUCACCCAUCCUAGUACUACUCUUGCCCAAGCACCCUUAACUGCGGAGUUCUGAUGGGAUCCGGUGCAUUAGUGUUGGUAUGAUCGCAUGUGUUACUACAUGCAAUGUAAUCGUAUCUAUUCUUUUUAAAGACUUUAUGAUCCAUUUGCCGUGGGUCCCACCAGCUAUGUAGGAAUACCCUAUCUUCUUUAUAAGAGCUUUGAUACAUGCAAAAUAUUGGAAAACAAUGUCCGAACAUAUUAUUUUCCCCCCGUAAUAUAGCAAAGAUCACGAAAAGGCCCGAAAAUGUACAUUAAGUUCAAAAUUUGGAGUAGAAAAAAAAAACAAUAGAAGAAUUCCAUUUUCCUUCCUCAUUCAUCGGAGAGCUCUCUUUGGGCUUUCCGAAAAGGUAUAACAUUCCAAGUUUGGCCUCAUGGUCUCAAAGUUAUAAAGUCAUACAUUUUUCACAAAAAAAAAUAAAGAAAAACAAAAAAAAAAAAGAGGGAUGUAACACGAGGACUUUUUUGGGAGGUCACCCAUCCUAGUACUACUCUCGCCCAAGCACCCUUAACUGCGGAGUUCUGAUGGGAUCCGUUGCAUUAGUGCUGGUAUGAUCGCAUGUGUUACUACAUGCAAUGUAAUCGUAUCUAUUCUUUCUUAAAGACUUUAUGAUCCAUUUGCCGUGAGUCCCACCAGCUAUGUAGGAACACCCUAUCUUCUUUAUAAGAGCUUUGAUACAUGCAAAAUAUUGGAAAAAAACGUCCGAACAUAUAAUUUUCCCCACGUAAUAUAGCAAAGAUCACGAAAAGGCCCCAAAAAGUACAUUUAGUUCAAAAUUUGGAGUAGAAAAAAAAACAAUAGAAGAAUUCCAUUUUCCUUCCUCAGUCAUCGGAGAGCUCUCUUUGGGCUUUCCGAAAAGGUAUCACAUGCCAAGUUUGGCCUCACGGUCUAAACGUUAUAGAGUCAUACAUUUUUAACAAUACAAAAUAGAGAAAAACCGAAAAAAAGAGGGAUGCAACACGAAGACUUUCCGGGAGGUAAUCCAUCCUAGUACUACUCUUUCCAAAGCACCCUUAACUGCGGAGUUCUGAUGGAAUCUGGUGCAUUAGUGCUGGUAUGAUCGCAUGUGUUACUACAUGCAAUGUAAUCGUAUCUAUUCUUUUUUAAAGACUUUAUGAUCCAUUUGCCGUGGGUCCCACCAGCUAUGUACGAAUACCCUAUCUUCUUUAUAAGAGCUUUGAUACAUGCAAAAUAUAUGAAAAAAACGUCCGAACAUAUAAUUUUCCCCCCGUAAUAUAGCAAAGAUCACGAAAAGGCUCGAAAAAUUACAUUUAGUUCAAAAUUUGGAGUAGAAAAACCCCUAUAGAAGAAUUCCAUUUUCCUUCCUCAGUCAUCGGAGAGCUCUCUUUGGGCUUUCCGAAAAGGUAUCACAUGCCAAGUUUGGCCUCACAGUCUAAAAGUUAUAGAGUCAUACAUUUUUAACAAAACAAAAUUGAGAAAAACCGAAAAAAAGAGGGAUGCAACACGAGGACUCUCCAGAAGGUAACCCAUCUUAGUACUACUCUCGCCCAAGCACCCUUAACUGCGGAGUUCUGAUGGGACCCGGUGCAUUAGUGCUGGUAUGAUCGCAUGUGUUACUACAUGCAAUGUAAUCGUAUCUGUUCUUUUUUAAAGACUUUAUGAUCCAUUUGCCGUGGGUCCUACCAGCUAUGUAGGAAUACCCUACCUUCUUUAUAAGAGUUUUGAUACAUGCAUAAUAUUGGAAAACAAUGUCCGAAGAUAUAAUUUUCCCCCCGUAAUAUAGCAAAGAUCACGAAAAGGCCCGGAAGAGUACAUUAAGUUCAAAAUUUGGAGUAUAAAAAAAACCAAUAGAAGAAUUCCAUUUUACUUCCUUAGUCAUCGGAGAGCUCUCUUUGGGCUUUCCGAAAAGGUAUCACAUGCCAAGUUUGGCCUCACGGUCUAAAAGUUAUAGAGUCAAACAUUUUAAACAAAACAUAAUAGAGAAAAACGGGAAAAAAGAGGGAUGUAACACGAGGACUUUCCGGGAGGUCACCCAUCCUAGUACUACUCUUGCCCAAGCACCCUUAACUGCGGAGUUCUGAUGGGAUCCGGUGCAUUAGUGUUGGUAUGAUCGCAUGUGUUACUACAUGCAAUGUAAUCGUAUCUAUUCUUUUUAAAGACUUUAUGAUCCAUUUGCCGUGGGUCCCACCAGCUAUGUAGGAAUACCCUAUCUUCUUUAUAAGAGCUUUGAUACAUGCAAAAUAUUGGAAAACAAUGUCCGAACAUAUUAUUUUCCCCCCGUAAUAUAGCAAAGAUCACGAAAAGGCCCGAAAAUGUACAUUAAGUUCAAAAUUUGGAGUAGAAAAAAAAAACAAUAGAAGAAUUCCAUUUUCCUUCCUCAUUCAUCGGAGAGCUCUCUUUGGGCUUUCCGAAAAGGUAUAACAUUCCAAGUUUGGCCUCAUGGUCUCAAAGUUAUAAAGACAUACAUUUUUCACAAAAAAAAAUAAAGAAAAACCAAAAAAAAAAAAGAGGAAUGUAACACGAGGACUUUUUUGGGAGGUCACCCAUCCUAGUACUACUCUCGCCCAAGCACCCUUAACUGCGGAGUUCUGAUGGGAUCCGUUGCAUUAGUGCUGGUAUGAUCGCAUGUGUUACUACAUGCAAUGUAAUCGUAUCUAUUCUUUCUUAAAGACUUUAUGAUCCAUUUGCCGUGAGUCCCACCAGCUAUGUAGGAAUACCCUAUCUUCUUUAUAAGAGCUUUGAUACAUGCAAAAUAUUGGAAAAAAACGUCCGAACAUAUAGUUUUCCCCCCGUAAUAUAGUAAAGAUCACGAAAAGGCUCGAAAAAGUACAUUUAGUUCAAAAUUUGGAGUAGAAAAAAAAACAUUAGUAGAAUUCCAUUUCCCUUCCUCAGUCAUCGGAGAGCUCUCUCUGGGCUUUCCAAAAAGGUAUCACAUGCCAAGUUUGGCCUCACGGUCUAAAAGUUAUAGAGUCAUACAUUUUUAACAAUACAAAAUAGAGAAAAACCGAAAAAAAAGAGGGAUGCAACACGAGGACUUUCCGGGAGGUAAUCCAUCCUAGUACUACUCUCGCCUAAGCACCCUUAACUGCGGAGUUCUAAUGGAAUCCAGUGCAUUAGUGCGGGUAUGAUCGCAUGUGUUACUACAUGCAAUGUAAUCGUAUCUAUUCUUUUUUAAAGACUUUAUGAUCCAUUUGCCGUGGGUCCCACCAGCUAUGUAGGAAUACACUAUCUUCUUUAUAAGAGCUUUGAUAGAGGCAAAAUAUUGGAAAAAAACGUCCGAACAUAUAAUUUUCCCCACGUAAUAUAGCAAAGAUCACGAAAAUGCCCCAAAAAGUACAUUUAGUUCAAAAUUUGGAGUAGAAAAAAAAACAAUAGAAGAAUUACAUUUUCCUUCCUCACUCAUCGGAGAGCUCUCUUUGGGCUUUCCGAAAAGGUAUCACAUGCCAAGUUUGGUCUCACGGUCUAAGAGUUAUAGAGUCAUACAUUUUUAACAAUACAAAAUAGAGAAAAACCGAAAAAAAGAGGGAUGCAACACGAAGACUUUCCGGGAGGUAAUCCAUCCUAGUACUACUCUUGCCCAAGCACCCUUAACUGUGGAGUUCUGAUGGAAUCUGGUGCAUUAGUGCUGAUAUGAUCGCAUGUGUUACUACAUGCAAUGUAAUCGUAUCUAUUCUUUUUUAAAGACUUUAUGAUCCAUUUGCCGUGGGUCCCACCAGCUAUGUAGGAAUACCCUAUCUUCUUUAUAAGAGCUUUGAUACAUGCAAAAUAUAUGAAAAAAACGUCCGAACAUAUAAUUUUCCCCCCGUAAUAUAGCAAAGAUCACGAAAAGGCUCGAAAAAUUACAUUUAGUUCAAAAGUCCCCCGUAUGAUGUCAUUUGUUACUACAUGCAAUGCAAUCAUAUCUAUUCUUAUUUAAAGACUUUAUGAUCCAUUUGUCGUGGGUCCCACCUGUAGGAAUACCCUAUCUUGUUUAUAAAAGAUUUGAUACAUGCAAAAUACUCGAAAACAAUGUCCGAACAUAUAAUUUUCACCCCGUAAUAUAGCAAAGAUCACGAAAAGGCCCGAAAAAGUACAUUAAAGUCAAAAUUUGGAGUAGAAAAAAACCCAAUAGAAGUAUUCCAUUCUCCUUCGUCAUUCAUCGGAGAGCUCUCUUUAGGCUUUCCGAAAAGAUAUCACAUGCCAAGUUUGGCCUCACGGUUUAAAAGUUAUAGAGUCAUAGAUUUUUAACAAAACAAAAAGAGAAAAACCGAAAAAAAUUGGGAUGCAACACGAGGACUUUCCUGGAGGUCACCCAUCCUAGUACUACUCUCGCCCAAGCACCCUUAACUGCGUAGUUCUGAUGGGAUCCGAUGCUUUAGUGCUGGUAUGAUCGCAUCUGUUACUACAUGCAAUGUAAUCGUAUCUAUUCUUUUUUAAAGACUUUAUGAUCCAUUUGCCGUGGGUCCCACCAGCUAUGUAGGAAUACCCUAUCUUCUUUAUAAGAGCUUUGAUAAAUGCAAAAUAUUGGAAACCAAUGUCCGAACAUAUAAUUUCGCCCCCGUAAUAUAGCAAAGAUCACGAAAAAGCCCAAAAAAGUUCAUUUAGGUCAAAAUUUGAGCAGAAGAAAAAGAAAUAGAAGAAUUCCAUUUUCCUUCCUCAUUUAUUGGAGAGCUCUCUUUGGGCUUUCCGAAAAGGUAUCACAUGCCAAGUUUGGCCUCACGGUCUAAAAGUUAUAGAGUCAUACAUUUUUAACAAAAUGAAAUAGAGAAAAACCGAAAAAAAGAGGGAUGUAACACGAGGACUUUCCGGGAGGUAAUCUAUCCUACUACUACUCUCGGCCAAGCACCCUUAACUGCGGAGUUCUAAUGGGAUCCGGUGCAUUAGUGCUGGUAUGAUCGCAUGUGUUACUACAUGCAAUGUAAUCGUAUCUAUUCUUUUUUAAAGACUUUAUGAUCCAUUUGCCGUGGGUCCCACCAGCUAUGUAGGAAUACNNNNNNNNNNNNNNNNNNNNNNNNNNNNNNNNNNNNNNNNNNNNNNNNNNAUAUAAUGUUUGCCCCAAAAUAUAGCANAGACCACGAAAAUGCCAUAAAAAGUACAUUAAGGUCAAAAUUUGGAGUAGGAAAAAAAAUCAAUAGGAGAAUUCCAUUUUCCUUCCUCAUUCAUUGGAGAGCUCUCUUUGGGCAUUCCAAAAAGGUAUCACAUGCCAAGUUUGGCCUCACGGUCUAAAAGUUAUAGAGUAAUACAUUUUUAACAAAAAAAAAAGAGAAAAACCGAAAAAAAGAGGGAUGCAACACGAAGACUUUUCUGGAGGUCACCCAUCCUAGUACUACUCUCCCCCAAGCACGCUUAACUGUGGUGUUCUGAUAGGAUCAAGUGCAUUAGUGCUGGUAUGAUCGCAUCAGUUACUACAUGCAAUGCAAUCAUAUAUAUUCUUUUUUGAAGACUUUAUGAUCCAUUGUCGUAGGUCCCACCAGCUAUGUAGGAAUACCCUUUCUUGUUUAUAAGAGCUUUGAUACAUGCAAAAUAUUCGAAAACAAUGUCCGAACAUAUAAUUUUUGUCCCGUAAUAUAGCAAAGAUCACGAAAAGGCCAGAAAAAAUACAUUUCGGUCAAAAUUUGGAGUAGAAAAAAAGCCCUUCCUCAUUCAUUGGACAGCUCUCUUUGGGCUUUCCGAAAAGGUAUCACAUGCCAAGUUUGGCCUCACGGUCUAAACCUUAUAGACUCAUACAUUUUUCACAAAAAAAAGAAGAGAAAAGCCAAAAAAAAAGAGUGAUUAAACACGAGGACUUUCCUGGAGGUCACCCAUCCUAGUACUACUCUCGCCCAAGCACGCUUAACUGCGAAGUUCUGAUGGGAUCUGGUGCAUUAGUGCUGGUAUGAUCGCAUCUGUUACUACAUGCAAUGAAAUCGUAUCUAUUCUUUUUUGAAGAUUUUAUGAUUCAUUUACCGUGGGUCCCACCAGCUAUGUAGGAAUAACCUAUCUUAUUUAUAAGAUCUUUGAUACAUGCAAAAUAUUGGAAAACAAUGUCCGAACAUAUAAUGUUCGCCCCAAAAUAUAGCAAAGACCACAAAAAUGCCAUAAAAAGUACAUUAAGGUCAAAAUUUGGAGUAGGAAAAAAACCAAUAAGAGAAUUCCAUUUUCCUUCCCUCAUUCAUCGGAGAUCUCUCUUUGGGCAUUCCAAAAAGGUAUCACAUGCCAAGUUUGGCCUCACGGUCUAAAAGUUAUAGAGUAAUACAUUUUUAACAAAAAAAAAAGAGAAAAACCGAAAAAAAGAGGGAUGCAACACGAAGACUUUUCUGGAGGUCACCCAUCCUAGUACUACUCUCCCCCAAGCACGCUUAACUGUGGUGUUCUGAUAGGAUCAAGUGCAUUAGUGCUGGUAUGAUCGCAUCAGUUACUACAUGUAAUGCAAUCAUAUAUAUUCUUUUUUGAAGACUUUAUGAUCCAUUUGCCGUAGGUCCCACCAGCUAUGUAGGAAUACCCUAUCUCGUUUAUAAGAGCUUUGAUACAUGCAAAAUAUUCGAAAACAAUGUCCGAACAUAUAAUGUUUGCCCCAAAAUAUAGCAAAGACCACGAAAAUGCCAUAAAAAGUACAUUAAGGUCAAAAUUUGGAGUAGGAAAAAAAAUCAAUAGGAGAAUUCCAUUUUCCUUCCUCAUUCAUCGGAGAGCUCUCUUUGGGCAUUCCAAAAAGGUAUGACAUGCCAAGUUUGGCCUCACGGUCUAAAAGUUAUAGAGUAAUACAUUUUUAACAAAAAAAAAAGAGAAAAACCGAAAAAAAGAGGGAUGCAACACGAAGACUUUUCUGGAGGUCAUCCAUCCUAGUACUACUCUCCCCCAAGCACGCUUAACUGUGGUGUUCUGAUAGGAUCAAGUGCAUUAGUGCUGGUAUGAUCGCAUCAGUUACUACAUGCAAUGCAAUCAUAUAUAUUCUUUUUUGAAGACGUUAUGAUCCAUUUGCCGUAGGUCCCACCAGCUAUGUAGGAAUACCCUAUCUUGUUUAUAAGAGCUUUGAUACAUGCAAAAUAUUCGAAAACAAUGUCCGAACAUAUAAUUUUUGUCCCGUAAUAUAGCAAAGAUCACGAAAAGGCCAGAAAAAAUACAUUUUGGUCAAAAUUUGGAGUAGAAAAAAAACCCUUCCUCAUUCAUUGGACAGCUCUCUUUGGGCUUUCCGAAAAGGUAUCACAUGCCAAGUUUGGCCUCACGGUCUAAAAGUUAUAGAGUCAUACAUUUUUCACAAAAAAAAGAAGAGAAAAACCAAAAAAAAGAGUGAUGAAACACGAGGACUUUCCUGGAGGUCACCCAUCCUAGUACUACUCUCGCCCAAGCACGCUUCACUGCGAAGUUCUGAUGGGAUCUGGUGCAUUAGUGCUGGUAUGAUCGCAUCUGUUACUACAUGCAAUGCAAUCAUAUCUAUUCUUUUUUGAAGAUUUUAUGAUUCAUUUACCGUGGGUCCCACCAGCUAUGUAGGAAUAACCUAUCUUAUUUAUAAGAGCUUUGAUACAUGCAAAAUAUUGGAAAACAAUGUCCGAACAUAUAAUGUUCGCCCCAAAAUAUAGCAAAGACAACAAAAAUGCCAUAAAAAGAAAAUUAAGGUCAAAAUUUUGAGUAGGAAAAAAAUCAAUAAGAGAAUUCCAUUUUCCUUCCCUCAUUCAUCGGAGAUCUCUCUUUGGGCAUUCCAAAAAGGUAUCACAUGCCAAGUUUGGCCUCACGGUCUAAAAGUUAUAGAGUAAUACAUUUUUAACAAAAAAAGAAGAGAAAAACCGAAAAAAAGAGGGAUGCAACACGAAGACUUUUCUGGAGGUCACCCAUCCUAGUACUACUCUCCCCCAAGCACGCUUAACUGUGGUGUUCUGAUAGGAUCAAGUGCAUUAGUGCUGGUAUGAUCGCAUCAGUUACUACAUGUAAUGCAAUCAUAUAUAUUCUUUUUUGAAGACUUUAUGAUCCAUUUGCCGUACGUCCCACCAGCUAUGUAGGAAUACCCUAUCUCGUUUAUUAGAGCUUUGAUACAUGCAAAAUAUUCGAAAACAAUGUCCGAACAUAUAAUGUUUGCCCCAAAAUAUAGAAAAGACCACGAAAAUGCCAUAAAAAGUACAUUAAGGUCAAAAUUUGGAGUAGGAAAAAAAAUCAAUAGGAGAAUUCCAUUUUCCUUCCUCAUUCAUCGGAGAGCUCUCUUUGGGCAUUCCAUAAAGGUAUCACAUGCCAAGUUUGGCCUCACGGUCUAAAAGUUAUAGAGUAAUACAUUUUUAACAAAAAAAAAAGAGAAAAACCGAAAAAAAGAGGGAUGCAACACGAAGACUUUUCUGGAGGUCACCCAUCCUAGUACUACUCUCCCACAAGCACGCUUAACUGUGGUGUUCUGAUAGGAUCAAGUGCAUUAGUGCUGGUAUGAUCGCAUCAGUUACUACAUGUAAUGCAAUCAUAUAUAUUCUUUUUUGAAGACUUUAUGAUCCAUUUGCCGUAGGUCCCACCAGUUAUGUAGGAAUACCCUAUCUCGUUUAUAAGAGCUUUGAUACAUGCAAAAUAUUCGAAAACAAUGUCCGAACAUAUAAUGUUUGCCCCAAAAUAUAGCAAAGACCACGAAAAUGCCAUAAAAAGUACAUUAAGGUCAAAAUUUGGAGUAGGAAAAAAAAUCAAUAGGAGAAUUCCAUUUUCCUUCCUCAUUCAUGGGAGAGCUCUCUUUGGGCAUUCCAAAAAGGUAUCACAUGCCAAGUUUGGCCUCACGGUCUAAAAGUUAUAGAGUAAUACAUUUUUAACAAAAAAAAAAGAGAAAAACCGAAAAAAAGAGGGAUGCAACACGAAGACUUUUCUGGAGGUCACCCAUCCUAGUACUACUCUCCCCCAAGCACGCUUAACUGUGGUGUUCUGAUAGGAUCAAGUGCAUUAGUGCUGGUAUGAUCGCAUCAGUUACUACAUGCAAUGCAAUCAUAUAUAUUCUUUUUUGAAGACGUUAUGAUCCAUUUGCCGUAGGUCCCACCAGCUAUGUAGGAAUACCCUAUCCUGUUUAUAAGAGCUUUGAUAUAUGCAAAAUAUUCAAAAACAAUGUCCGAACAUAUAAUUUUUGUCCCGUAAUAUAGCAAAGAUCACGAAAAGGCCAGAAAAAAUAAAUUUCGGUCAAAAUUUGGAGUAGAAAAAAAACCCUUCCUCAUUCAUUGGACAGCUCUCUUUGGGCUUUCCGAAAAGGUAUCACAUGCCAAGUUUGGCCUCACGGUCUAAACCUUAUAGACUCAUACAUUUUUUACAAAAAAAAGAAGAGAAAAACCAAAAAAAAGAGUGAUUAAACACGAGGACUUUCCUGGAGGUCACCCAUCCUAGUACUACUCUCGCCCAAGCACGCUUAACUGCGAAGUUCUUAUGGGAUCUGGUGCAUUAGUGCUGGUAUGAUCGCAUCUGUUACUACAUGCAAUGCAAUUGUAUCUAUUCUUUUUUGAAGAUUUUAUGAUUCAUUUACCGUGGGUCCCACCAGCUAUGUAGGAAUAACCUAUCUGAUUUAUAAAAGCUUUGAUACAUGCAAAAUAUUCGAAAACAAUGUCCGAACAUAUAAUGUUCGCCCCAAAAUAUAGCAAAGACCGUAAAAAUGCCAUAAAAAGUACAUUAAGGUCAAAAUUUGGAGUAGGAAAAAAAAUCAAUAGGAGAAUUCCAUUUUCCUUCCCUCAUUCAUCGAAGAGCUCUCUUUGGGCAUUCCAAAAAGGUAUCACAUGCCAAGUUUGGCCUCACGGUCUAAAAGUUAUAGAGUAUUACAUUUUUAACAAAAAAAAAAGAGAAAAACCGAUAAAAAGAGGGAUGCAACACGAAGACUUUUCUGGAGGUCACCAAUCCUAGUACUACUCUCCCCCAAGCACGCUUAACUGUGGUGUUCUGAUAGGAUCAAGUGCAUUAGUGCUGGUAUGAUCGCAUCAGUUACUACAUGCAAUGCAAUCAUAUAUAUUCUGUUUUGAAGACUUUAUGAUCCAUUUGUCGUAGGUCCCACCAGCUAUGUAGGAAUACCCUUUCUUGUUUAUAAGAGCUUUGAUACAUGCAAAAUAUUCGAAAACAAUGUCCGAACAUAUAAUUUUUGUCCCGUAAUAUAGCAAAGAUCACGAAAAGGCCAGAAAAAAUACAUUUCGGUCAAAAUUUGGAGUAGAAAAAAAGCCCUUCCUCAUUCAUUGGACAGCUCUCUUUGGGCUUUCCGAAAAGGUAUCACAUGCCAAGUUUGGCCUCACGGUCUAAACCUUAUAGACUCAUACAUUUUUCACAAAAAAAAGAAGAGAAAAACCAAAAAAAAAGAGUGAUUAAACACGAGGACUUUCCUGGAGGUCACCCAUCCUAGUACUACUCUCGCCCAAGCACGCUUAACUGCGAAGUUCUGAUGGGAUCUGGUGCAUUAGUGCUGGUAUGAUCGCAUCUGUUACUACAUGCAAUGAAAUCGUAUCUAUUCUUUUUUGAAGAUUUUAUGAUUCAUUUACCGUGGGUCCCACCAGCUAUGUAGGAAUAACCUAUCUCGUUUAUAAGAGCUUUGAUACAUGCAAAAUAUUCGAAAACAAUGUCCGAACAUAUAAUGUUUGCCCCAAAAUAUAGAAAAGACCACGAAAAUGCCAUAAAAAGUACAUUAAGGUCAAAAUUUGGAGUAGGAAAAAAAAUCAAUAGGAGAAUUCCAUUUUCCUUCCUCAUUCAUCGGAGAGCUCUCUUUGGGCAUUCCAUAAAGGUAUCACAUGCCAAGUUUGGCCUCACGGUCUAAAAGUUAUAGAGUAAUACAUUUUUAACAAAAAAAAAAGAGAAAAACCGAAAAAAAGAGGGAUGCAACACGAAGACUUUUCUGGAGGUCACCCAUCCUAGUACUACUCUCCCACAAGCACGCUUAACUGUGGUGUUCUGAUAGGAUCAAGUGCAUUAGUGCUGGUAUGAUCGCAUCAGUUACUACAUGUAAUGCAAUCAUAUAUAUUCUUUUUUGAAGACUUUAUGAUCCAUUUGCCGUAGGUCCCACCAGUUAUGUAGGAAUACCCUAUCUCGUUUAUAAGAGCUUUGAUACAUGCAAAAUAUUCGAAAACAAUGUCCGAACAUAUAAUGUUUGCCCCAAAAUAUAGCAAAGACCACGAAAAUGCCAUAAAAAGUACAUUAAGGUCAAAAUUUGGAGUAGGAAAAAAAAUCAAUAGGAGAAUUCCAUUUUCCUUCCUCAUUCAUGGGAGAGCUCUCUUUGGGCAUUCCAAAAAGGUAUCACAUGCCAAGUUUGGCCUCACGGUCUAAAAGUUAUAGAGUAAUACAUUUUUAACAAAAAAAAAAGAGAAAAACCGAAAAGAAGAGGGAUGCAACACGAAGACUUUUCUGGAGGUCAUCCAUCCUAGUACUACUCUCGCCCAAGCACACUUAACUGCGGUGUUCUGAUAGGAUCAAGUGCAUUAGUGCUGGUAUGAUCGCAUCAGUUACUACAUGCAAUGCAAUCUUAUAUAUUCUUUUUUGAAGACUUUAUGAUCCAUUUGCCGUCGGUCCCACCAGCUAUGUAGGAAUACCCUAUCUUGUUUAUAAGAGCUUUGAUAUAUGCAAAAUAUUCAAAAAUAAUGUCCGAACAUAUAAUUUUUGUCCCGUAAUAUAGCAAAGAUCACGAAAAGGCCAGAAAAAAUAAAUUUCGGUCAAAAUUUGGAGUAGAAAAAAAACCCUUCCUCAUUCAUUGGACAGCUCUCUUUGGGCUUUCCGAAAAGGUAUCACAUGCCAAGUUUGGCCUCACGGUCUAAACCUUAUAGACUCAUACAUUUUUUACAAAAAAAAGAAGAGAAAAACCAAAAAAAAGAGUGAUUAAACACGAGGACUUUCCUGGAGGUCACCCAUCCUAGUACUACUUUCGCCCAAGCACGCUUAACUGCGAAGUUCUUAUGGGAUCUGGUGCAUUAGUGCUGGUAUGAUCGCAUCUGUUACUACAUGCAAUGCAAUUGUAUCUAUUCUUUUUUGAAGAUUUUAUGAUUCAUUUACCGUGGGUCCCACCAGCUAUGUAGGAAUAACCUAUCUGAUUUAUAAAAGCUUUGAUACAUGCAAAAUAUUCGAAAACAAUGUCCGAACAUAUAAUGUUCGCCCCAAAAUAUAGCAAAGACCGUAAAAAUGCCAUAAAAAGUACAUUAAGGUCAAAAUUUGGAGUAGGAAAAAAAUCAAUAGGAGAAUUCCAUUUUCCUUCCCUCAUUCAUCGGAGAGCUCUCUUUGGGCAUUCCAAAAAGGUAUCACAUGCCAAGUUUGGCCUCACGGUCUAAAAGUUAUAGAGUAUUACAUUUUUAACAAAAAAAAAAGAGAAAAGCCGAUAAAAAGAGGGAUGCUACACGAAGACUUUUCUGGAGGUCACCAAUCCUAGUACUACUCUCCCCCAAGCACGCUUAACUGUGGUGUUCUGAUAGGAUCAAGUGCAUUAGUGCUGGUAUGAUCGCAUCAGUUACUACAUGCAAUGCAAUCAUAUAUAUUCUGUUUUGAAGACUUUAUGAUCCAUUUGUCGUAGGUCCCACCAGCUAUGUAGGAAUACCCUUUCUUGUUUAUAAGAGCUUUGAUACAUGCAAAAUAUUCGAAAACAAUGUCCGAACAUAUAAUUUUUGUCCCGUAAUAUAGCAAAGAUCACGAAAAGGCCAGAAAAAAUACAUUUCGGUCAAAAUUUGGAGUAGAAAAAAAGCCCUUCCUCAUUCAUUGGACAGCUCUCUUUGGGCUUUCCGAAAAGGUAUCACAUGCCAAGUUUGGCCUCACGGUCUAAACCUUAUAGACUCAUACAUUUUUCACAAAAAAAAGAAGAGAAAAACCAAAAAAAAAGAGUGAUUAAACACGAGGACUUUCCUGGAGGUCACCCAUCCUAGUAAUACUCUCGCCCAAGCACGCUUAACUGCGAAGUUCUGAUGGGAUCUGGUGCAUUAGUGCUGGUAUGAUCGCAUCUAUUACUACAUGCAAUGAAAUCGUAUCUAUUCUUUUUUGAAGAUUUUAUGAUUCAUUUACCGUGGGUCCCACCAGCUAUGUAGGAAUAACCUAUCUUAUUUAUAAGAUCUUUGAUACAUGCAAAAUAUUGGAAAACAAUGUCCGAACAUAUAAUGUUCGCCCCAAAAUAUAGCAAAGACCACAAAAAUGCCAUAAAAAGUACAUUAAGGUCAAAAUUUGGAGUAGGAAAAAAACCAAUAAGAGAAUUCCAUUUUCCUUCCCUCAUUCAUCGGAGAUCUCUCUUUGGGCAUUCCAAAAAGGUAUCACAUGCCAAGUUUGGCCUCACGGUCUAAAAGUUAUAGAGUAAUACAUUUUUAACAAAAAAAAAAAGAGAAAAACCGAAAAAAAGAGGGAUGCAACACGAAGACUUUUCUGGAGGUCACCCAUCCUAGUACUACUCUCCCCCAAGCACGCUUAACUGUGGUGUUCUGAUAGGAUCAAGUGCAUUAGUGCUGGUAUGAUCGCAUCAGUUACUACAUGUAAUGCAAUCAUAUAUAUUCUUUUUUGAAGACUUUAUGAUCCAUGUGCCGUAGGUCCCACCAGCUAUGUAGGAAUACCCUAUCUCAUUUAUAAGAGCUUUGAUACAUGCAAAAUAUUCGAAAACAAUGUCCGAACAUAUAAUGUUUGCCCCAAAAUAUAGCAAAGACCACGAAAAUGCCAUAAAAAGUACAUUAAGGUCAAAAUUUGGAGUAGGAAAAAAAAUCAAUAGGAGAAUUCCAUUUUCCUUCCUCAUUCAUCGGAGAGCUCUCUUUGGGCAUUCCAAAAAGGUAUCACAUGGCAAGUUUGGCCUCACGGUCUAAAAGUUAUAGAGUAAUACAUUUUUAACAAAAAAAAAAGAGAAAAACCGAAAAAAAGAGGGAUGCAACACGAAGACUUUUCUGGAGGUCACCCAUCCUAGUACUACUCUCCCCCAAGCACGCUUAACUGUGGUGUUCUGAUAGGAUCAAGUGCAUUAGUGCUGGUAUGAUCGCAUCAGUUACUACAUGCAAUGCAAUCAUAUAUAUUCUUUUUUGAAGACGUUAUGAUCCAUUUGCCGUAGGUCCCACCAGCUAUGUAGGAACACCCUAUCUUGUUUAUAAGAGCUUUGAUACAUGCAAAAUAUUCGAAAACAAUGUCCGAACAUAUAAUUUUUGUCCCGUAAUAUAGCAAAGAUCACGAAAAGGCCAGAAAAAAUACAUUUCGGUCAAAAUUUGGAGUAGAAAAAAAACCCUUCCUCAUUCAUUGGACAGCUCUCUUUGGGCUUUCCGAAAAGGUAUCACAUGCCAAGUUUGGCCUCACGGUCUAAAAGUUAUAGAGUCAUACAUUUUUCACAAAAAAAGCAAGAGAAAAACAAAAAAAAAGAGUGAUGAAACACGAGGACUUUCCUGGAGGUCACCCAUCCUAGUACUACUCUCGCCCAAGCACGCUUAACUGCGAAGUUCUGAUGGGAUCUGGUGCAUUAGUGCUGGUAUGAUCGCAUCUGUUACUACAUGCAAUGCAAUCGUAUAUAUUCUUUUUUGAAGACUUUAUGAUCCAUUUGUCGUAGGUCCCACCAGUUAUGUAGGAAUACCCUAUCUCGUUUAUAAGAGCUUUGAUACAUGCAAAAUAUUCGAAAACAAUGUCCGAACAUAUAAUGUUUGCCCCAAAAUAUAGCAAAGACCACGAAAAUGCCAUAAAAAGUACAUUAAGGUCAAAAUUUGGAGUAGGAAAAAAAAUCAAUAGGAGAAUUCCAUUUUCCUUCCUCAUUCAUUGGAGAGCUCUCUUUGGGCAUUCCAAAAAGGUAUCACAUGCCAAGUUUGGCCUCACGGUCUAAAAGUUAUAGAGUAAUACAUUUUUAACAAAAAAAAAAGAGAAAAACCGAAAAAAAGAGNNNNNNNNNNNNNNNNNNNNNNNNNNNNNNNNNNNNNNNNNNNNNNNNNNUCAUACAUUUUUAACAAAACAAAUAGAGAAAAACCGAAAAAAAGAAUGAUACAACACAAGGACUUUCCGGGAGGUCACCCAUCCUAAUACUAUUCUCGCCCAAGCAAGCUUAACUGCAGAGUAUUGAUGGGAUCUGAUGCAUAAGGGCUGAUAUGAUCGCAUCCGUUACUACAAGCAAUGCAAUCGUAUCUAUUCGUUUUUGAAGACUUUAUGAUCCAUUUGCCGUGGGUCCCACCAGCUAUGUAGGAAUACCCUAUCUUGUUUAUAAGAGCUUUGAUACAUGCAAAAAAUUGGAAAACAAUGUCUGAACAUAUAAUUUUUGUCCCGUAAUAUAGCAAAGAUCACGAAAAGGAUAGAAAAAGUACAUUAAGGUCAAAAUUUUGAGUAGAAAAAAAAUCAAUAGAAGGAUUCCAAUUUCCUUCCUCAUUCAUAUAGCUCUCUUUGGGCUUUCCGAAAAGGUAUCACAUGCAAAGUUUGGCCUCGCGGUCUAAAAGUUAUAGAGGUAUACAUUUUUACCAAAAAAAAGAGGGAUUCAACACGAGGACUUUCUGGGAGGUCACUCAUCCUAUUACUACUCUCGCCCAAGCACACUUAACUGCGGAGUUCUGAUAGGAUCCAGUGCAUUAGUGCGGGUAUGAUCACAUCCGUUACUACAUGCAAUGCAAUCGUAUAUAUUUUUUUUGAAGACUUUAUGAUCCAUUUGCCGUGGGUCUCACCAGCUAUGUAGGAAUACCCUAUCUUGUUUGUAAGAGCUUUGAUACAUGCAAAAUAUUCGAAAACAAUGUCAGAACGUAUGCUUUUUGCCCCGUAAUAUAGCAUAGAUCAUGAAAAGGCCAGAAAAAGUACAUUAAGGUCAAAAUUUUGAGUAGAAAAAAAAACAAUAGAAAAAUUCCAUUGUCCUUCCUCAUUCAUCGGAGAGUUCUCUUUGGGCUUUCCGAAAAGGUAUCACAUGCCAAGUUUGGCCUCACGGUCUAAAACUUAUAGAAUCAUACAUUCUUAACAAAAAAAAAAGAGAAAAACCGAAAAAAAGAAGAAUGCAACACAAGGACUUUCCAUGAGGUCAACCAUCCUAGUACUACUCUCGCCCAAUCACGCUUAACUGCAGAGUUUUGAUGGGAUCCGGUGCAUUAGUGCUGGUAUGAUCGCAUCUGUUACUACAUGCAAUGCAAUCGUAUCUAUUCUUUUUUGAAGACUUUAUGAUCCAUUUGUCGUGGGUCCCACCAACUAUGUAAGAAUACCCUAUCUUGUUUAUAAGAGCUUUGAUACAUGCAAAAUAUUCGAAAACAAUGUCAGAACGUAUGCUUUUUGCCCCGUAAUAUAGCAUAGAUCAUGAAAAGGCCAGAAAAAGUACAUUAAGGUCAAAAUUUUGAGUAGAAAAAAAAACAAUAGAAAAAUUCCAUUGUCCUUCCUCAUUCAUCGGAGAGUUCUCUUUGGGCUUUCCGAAAAGGUAUCACAUGCCAAGUUUGGCCUCACGGUCUAAAAUUUAUAGAGUCAUACAUUUUUAACAAAAAAAAAAGAGAAAAACCGAAAAAAGAGGGAUGGAACACAAGGACUUUCCGGGAGGUCACCCAUUCUAGUACUACUCUCACCCAAGCGCGCUUAACUGUGGAGUUCUGAUGGGAUCCAGUGCAUUAGUGAUGGUAUGAUCGCAUCCGUUACUACAUGCAAUGCAAUAAUAUCUUUUCUUCUUGAAGACUUUAUGAUCCAUUUGUCGUGGGUCCCACCAGCUAUGUAGGAAUACCCUAUCUUGUUUAUAAGAGCUUUGAUACAUGCAAAAUAUUCAAAAACAAUGUCCGAACAUAUAAUUUUCGCCCCGUAAUAUAGCAAAGAUCGCGAAAACGCCAAAAGAGUACAUUAAGGUCAAAAUUUGGAGUAGAAAAAAAACCCAAUAGAAGAAUUCCAUUUUCCUUCAUCAUUCACCAGAGAGCUCUCUUUUGGCUUUUUGAAAAGGUAUCACAUGCCAAGUUUGGCCUCACGGUCUAAAAGUUAUAGAGUCAUUCAUUUUAAAAAAAAAAAUAGAGAAAAACCAAAAAAAAAAAGAGGGAUGAAACACGAGGACUUUCCGGGAGGUCACCCAUCCUAGUACUACUCUCGCCCAAGCACACUUAACUGCGGAGUUCUUAUGGGAUCUGGUGCAUUAGUGCUGCUAUGAUCGCAUCCGUUACUACAUGCAAUGCAAUCGUAUCUAUUCUUUUUUGAAGACUUUAUGAUCCAUUUGCUGUGGGUCCUGAUAUGUCUAUAAUUUACAUCUUUUCAGUGUCCAUUCAUCACCGUUUUGAGUCCAGUUUUGUAUCAUUCAUCGCUGUUUUAUAUCAUUUCUCAUCAUUCUUGCAUACUUUGCAUGAUUAGGAUAGUUUUGCAUACAUAUUGCAUUUCUAAGUUGUUUUCAGGUGAUUUGGAGCUGUUUGCGAGCAAAUUGGAAGAAACGAGCCAGAACCAGAAGACAUACUCGACCACCAGGUCGUGUGCAUCCAGCACCAUACUCGACCCCCUGGUCGAGUGACUUUGGAGCCAUUCUUCCCAUCUACUCGACCCCCUAGUCGAGUAUCCUCAGCUCAGGCUACUCGAUGACGCCAUCGACCCCCUGGUCGAGUAUCACUUCGCCACACCACCUGACCACACUCGGCCAUUCACUCUACCAAGUUAGUCGACCCCCUGGUCGAGUAUCAUCACUCACCACCAUCACCAUCACUCGACCGGACACUCGAUCACGUCUUCACAGUCUACUCAAAUCCGCACUCAACCAGACAAGCUGAGCACAAGGAAGAGAAGAGGAGAAGACAAAGUGUUUGGAAGCGGCCUGGACCUCCAUCGGAUCACAAAGCCCAUCUCGGCCCAUUAUCACUCUAUUGGUCGGGCGAUUAGGUUAUUGGCCCGUCUACUAUCAUUUUGUUUUGUAUAAAUAGAUGUCUUAGGGUUCUUUCCUGAGACAUCUAGUCGACAUUGAGUUUUUGUUUCAGUUUUAUUUUCUAUUUUACUCUUCUGCGCCGCUUUUGCUUCUACAACCUAUAAUUCGAGAUUUUUCCAAGUUAUUCAGAUUCUGCAUUUGAUUUUAUCUAUCAUCCUGUUUCUCUACUCUUUAUCUCUUUACUUAUGCAAUAUUAUCAUUUAUCUGCGUUUAUGUCUUUGAGCAUGUUGUCUGAGUAGUGACAUAGAAUUCUUAGGGAUGGGAUAGAGUAGUUGUGGAAUCCGUAGUCUGUAGAAUGGUUAAGUUUUAGAAUUGAUUGAAUCCCUUCAGGACUAGUUGCGUUUACUGCUUAUUUCUUUCUGAUCAACUGGAAUUCGAUCCCAAGCAUUCUCGCACCCAGAAGGUGUUCGAUGGAAUGCUUGAUCCACUAGUUCCUGAGAUAUUCGUCUCUAUCCCAAGGGAUUGGGCGUUUAGAGCGUUUAUUGACUUUAUCAGUCUGUUCUUAUUGCCUGCAUAGUUAGAUUGCGUUAAUGGGAAUUAGUCUGGGCUAGCUUUGCUUGAGGAUUUCUAUCACAGAAGUGAAUUGAUUUGUUGUUGAACCUAUUGUCUAGGGAUAGCUUGAUUGCGCUUGUUAACCAUUCGAAUAUGCUAGGAUAUGAUAAGGUCUGACCCUAUCGAAGACAAGAAAAAGACUAAGAGUGAUAAAAUAACAAGAUAAUAGGAAAUGCACCUUGAACGGCGGAGAGUGUAGAUGAGAGAGAGAAUUUCAAGAUUAAUGUUGUUGAUUGUUUAUUUUGAUAACAAAACCCUAAAAGGGAAGGUUCCUUAAAUAGCAUCUACUGAGACUCAAUACAAAACGCAGCAUUUCGAUAACCCAAAAGUAAAACGACACAGUUGGCGAGCUGUCUUUCUGUGCCGAGCUGGCGAGCUGUCUUUCUGUGCCUUAGCCACUUUUAAAUAGAAGCUUCCUCAGGAACUUCUCACGAGCUCUGCCUUUCCUUCCAUUUGAUUUCGCCCUUCUUCUCACACCAGCCAACGUCACCUGUAACCUAUCAAUGCUCCCGCGCAGAAGACUGACCUUGUCCUCAAGGUCGAAGUCCGGGUACUGCUGCACCAAAGUGAGGAGCGGCUCCCAAGUUGAUUCCAAGGUUGAUAAUCCAGACCACUGUACCAGCACCUCUGGUCCUGAAUUUGUGUUGCUCUGUCGGAUAUCUAGCAGCUUCUCAGGUCCUGUGUUCCAUUCCAGUGUGGGUGAUAGUAUCUUGGGAAGUUCCUGCGGGGUGAAUGACGGAGGUACAGCCCUUUUCAGUUGAGAGACAUGGAACACCGGGUGAAUUGUGCUGUGUUCGGGUAGUUGGAGCUUGUAAGCGACCUGACCUAUGCGGUGCAGCACUUUAAAUGGACCGAAGUAGCGCUGGGACAGCUUUUCAUUCUUCCUAUGAGCCACAGAACUUUGCCUAUAAGGACGCAGCUUCAAGUAAACCCAUUCAUCAAUUUCAAACGCUACAUCACGUCGACUUUUAUCAGCAGCCUUUUUCAUUUGAGCUUGAGCUAUCUCCAAGUUCUCUCUUAAUUCAACCAGCAUUCCAUCCUUAUCCUUAAGUAACUCCUCUACAUUCGCAUUAUUGGUUGGAAUAUCGCCAUACCUGAGCAGAACUGGUGGUUCUCUACCAUAGACUGCUUGAAAGGGAGUGGUUUUGGUGGCUGAAUGGUACGAGGUGUUGUACCAGUAUUCUGCCCAAGGUAACCACUGAAACCACGAUGUAGGCCUCCUCCCUGCAAAGCAUCGCAAAUAAGACUCAAGACAUCUGUUAACAACCUCGGUCUGCCCAUCAGUUUGUGGGUGAUAGGCUGUACUCUUCUGUAGCCCCGUGCCCUGCAGCUUAAACAACUCAGACCAGAAUCCGCUCAGGAAAAUCCUGUCCCUGUCCGAAACCAGUGUGUUUGGGAAGCCAUGUAGCUUGACUACAUCUCUUAUGAAGGCCUCAACUACAGUCUUGGCAGUGAAUGGAUGUUUAAGUGGAAUGAAAUGACUAUACUUACUUAAUCUAUCCACCACUACCAAUAUACAGUUAAACCUGUUAGAGCUUGGCAACCCUUCUACAAAGUCCAAGCUGACAUCACUCCAAAUCUGUUGUGGAAUAGGGAGAGGUGAUAGUAAACCGGCUGGAGAGAGGGUAGAGUAUUUAUUCUCUUGACAGAUUUGGCAUCCCUUGAUGUAGUUAACCACGUCUUUCCGCAACCCUCUCCAGUAUACUUCACUUGUGAGUCGUUUGAAUGUCUUAAGGGCACCUUCAUGACCUCCAAUAGGACUGGUGUGGAACUUCUCUAGCAUCUUUGGAAUGAAGGGAGAUCCUACAGGAAUUACCAAACAGCCUUUUCUGUAAAUCAAGCCAUCUGCCACAGUGAAGUCAGAAUCAUGGUGGUCCCCUUGUGCCCAGUUCUUAAGUAUCUGGCUCAACUCAUGAUCCUGCUGAAUUUCUGCCUUUAGUGCAGUCAAGUCGAUAGUAGGAGGACCAGUUAUAGUGAGCUGUGAGAGAGCCUCAGUUGGAGGUCUCCUUGAGAGUGCAUCAGCUACCUUAUUGUCAACUCCUGGUUUAUAUUCGAUCCUAUACUUCAGUCCACUCAACUUAGACGCCCAUCUCUGCUGUAUUGUGGACACCGACUUCUGUUCCAACAAAUGUCUGAGGCUGCGUUGAUCUGUCUUGAUAAUGAAUUCUUUACUUGAUAGGUAAUGCUUCCACUUUGUGACAGCUUUCACUAUGGCUAACAGUUCACGUUCAUAAACUGACCUUAUUCUGCCUUGACUGGAGAAGGCUUGGCUGAGAAAUGCAAUAAGCCUCUUAUUCUGUGACAGUACUGCUCCAAUCCCCAUCCCUGAUGCAUCCGUUUCCACAGUAAACUCCUGCUGGAAAUCUGGUAACACUAGCACAGGUAGUGCUGAAACAGCUGCUUUGAGAGCCUGAAAUGCAGAAGUAGCUGCCUCAUUCCAAUCAAAACUGUUCUUUUUUAACUGAUCUCUGAGUGGUCUGGCGAUUUGGCCGUAAUUCUUGACAAAUCGGCGAUAGUAGCCAGUGAAUCCUAGGAAGCCUCUUAACUCAGUCACAGAUUUAGGUAAAGGCCACUGGAGCAUUGCUUCCACCUUUUCUGGAUCUGUUGCGACUCCUUGCUCAGAGAUAAUGUGUCCCAAAUAUGAGAUCCUAGUGCUUCCAAAUGUGCACUUUUUAAAAUUGGCAUAGAACUGAUGAAGAUGCAGUAGCUGUAAGACGGUUUCCAAAUGCUUCAAAUGUGUCUUCAUAUCAGGACUAUAAACUAGUAUAUCAUCGAAGAAAACCAAGACGAACUUUCGCAAGUAUGGCCUGAAUAGGUCAUUCAUGACGCUUUGAAAGGUGGAGGGGGCGUUGGUCAAGCCAAAUGGCAUUACCAGAAAUUCAUAAUGGCCCUCAUGUGUCUUGAAGGCAGUCUUCUCCACAUCACUCAGUUUCAUCCUUAUCUGGAAAUAGCCUGAUUUAAGAUCCAACUUUGAAAACACUGUGGCUCCUUUCAGUUCAUCCAAUAGCUCUUCUAUAACAGGAAUCGGAUACUUAUCGGGUAUUGUAGCUUCAUUCAAUGCUCGAUAAUCAACGCAGAAGCGCCAUCCUCCAUCUUUCUUUUUCACUAGGAGAACUGGACUUGAAUAUGGACUCACGCUAGGUCUUAUAAUCUGAGCAUUCAACAUUUCACGCACAAGCUUCUCUAUCUCAUUCUUUUGAGCAAAAGAAUACCUGUAUGGUCGGAUAUUGACUGGUGAAGACCCUUCUUGUAAGGUAAUGGCGUGUUCUCUGUUGCGAACUGGUGGCAAUAGCUGUGGAGUUUGAAAAACCCCUUGGUACUGAUCCAAAAGCCUCUGGAUUGCAGGCUGCAAGGCUGUUUGCUCUUCCUGUUUCUUGCUUUCAAACAAAGAUGCUAGUUCCAAGAGAUAUGCAGUUCCAGUGUAUUUGAUAACUCUUUCCAUAGACCUCAUCGAAAUUUGUCCUCUACAUAGAUCCGGGUCGCCGUAUAAGGAUACCCAUGUGCGACCUAUCUGCCAACUGAUCCUCAAAUCUCUCCAGUUGGCUCUUGUUUCUCCUAGUCCUGCCAACCAAGAAAAUCCCAGAACCAAAUCCAAAUCUCCCAAGUCAAAUAAGUAGUAGUCUUGUACAAACUCAAUUCCUUGGACCUCUAGUGGUAUAUCGACACACUUCCCACUACUUUUGAUGAUUCUGCCUCCACCAACUUUAACUCCAAAACUGCGAGUUUGAGUCACUAACCAUCCUUUCUCUCUUACCAAAGCCUCACUAAUGAAGUUGCAAGUUGCUCCUGAAUCAACCAAUAACACCACUUUGGUGUUGCCAAUGUAUCCCCUCAUUUUCAUUGACUGCUCUUGAGACUCAUCAUUCAAGGAGCUGAGUGUCAUUACCUUGAAACCUUCUGCAGGUUCUGGAUCCCCUUCUUCUUCUGUCAGUGGUUCAUUCAACUCUUCAAUUAGAGGACUCUCCUCUUCAACCUCUUCUGUUAUGGCUAGACCCUUGAGCUUUUGUGGUUUGCAUUUAUGGCCUUGAAACCAUCUAUCUCCACAGUAGCGGCACGGGUUUGAGUUCCUGGCUUCCCCACUGCCUGAAGCACGAGUUGUAUCCCUACUAGGAAUGAAGGGUUGUCUCGUUGGAGCACGGUCUACCACUCUAGAUCCUGUGGAGACCUGAUUGUUGAAUGGAGCUGUGUUGGUUCUAGCUUGAUUUCGCACUUGGUAACUAACAGCAUUCCGCUCUUGUGACUCAAUGAGUUUAGCUAUCUCAACAAUAUCUGCAAGAUUCACUGGCCUACAGCGAACUACCUGGUCUCGAAGACUUCUUCUCAGUCCAUUGAGGAAUGCAGAUUCCAAUAUGUCAGAUGUGACAUGGGGUAAGUCGACUGUGAGCUCUUCAAAACGUUCUCUGUAUUCCUCCACGGUUCCUGUUUGUCUCACGUUGAGGAGAUGAUCCACAGCAGAACUGCCUCUGCUUGGUCGAAAACGUAACAUGAACUUUUCUUGAAAUUCCCUCCAGGUAUAGAUUUGUUCUCUGUCCUUAGAGCAGCGCCACCAUGUAACUGAUGCUCCUGUUAAACAAGACACAGCCUUUUCCAGUUUUUCUUCCUCUAGGGUGCGAUUGGAUAAGAAGCACUGUUCUAGCCGGAACAACCAAUCGUCGGCAUUGCCUCCUUCAUAAGCCGGAUAAUCCACAGUCCUACGCGGGGCUGCUUCAAACCGAGGUUGAUGUGGCGCAGAUUGAGGCGGAAACGUUUGUGUUUGGAAGGUUGGAGUAGUCUGAAACCCCGUGGAAGGAUUAGAUGGAAAACCUGAAGAUGAUGGAAGACCCGUGGAGGCAUUCAGCUGAAACCCUGGUGGUUCUAAUGGUGACGAGUGAAAGCGACGCGGUUCGAAGGGUGAAGCUGGAAGUCGAGGUAUCUCUGAAGUCGACGCCUGGUAUCGCGACUGGUCAAAGAGUAAGGGCCGAGGGUGUGUGUCCCGUUGAUUUGUGCCGGAAAACAGAGUCUCUCUGUUCUGUACCUCCAAGUGUUGAGGAUGAGAGGUGUAGACUGGUAACGCCGGAGCUGGAGAAGAAAAACGGACUCCUCUAUUCGGUCCUUCCAGAUGUUGUGGGUANNNNNNNNNNNNNNNNNNNNNNNNNNNNNNNNNNNNNNNNNNNNNNNNNNNNNNNNNNNNNNNNNNNNNNNNNNNNNNNNNNNNNNNNNNNNNNNNNNNNAGCUCUCUUUGGGCUUUCCGAAAAGGUAUCACAUGCCAAGUUUGGCUUCACGGUCUAAACCUUAUAGACUCAUACAUUUUUCACAAAAAAAAGAAGAGAAAAACAAAAAAAAAGAGUGAUUAAACACGAGGACUUUCCUGGAGGUCACCCAUCCUAGUACUACUCUCGCCCAAGCACUCUUAACUGCGAAGUUCUGAUGGGAUCUGGUGCAUUAGUGCUGGUAUGAACGCAUCUGUUACUACAUGCAAUGCAAUCGUAUGUAUUCUUUUUUGAAGAUUUUAUGAUUCAUUUACCGUGGGUCCCACCAGCUAUGUAGGAAUAACCUAUCUUAUUUAUAAAAGCUUUGAUACAUGCAAAAUAUUCGAAAACAAUGUCCGAACAUAUAAUGUUCGCCCCAAAAUAUAGCAAAGACCACAAAAAUGCCAUAAAAAGUACAUUAAGGUCAAAAUUUGGAGUAGGAAAAAAAUCAAUAGGAGAAUUCCAUUUUCCUUCCCUCAUUCAUCGGAGAGCUCUCUUUGGGCAUUCCAAAAAGGUAUCACAUGCCAAGUUUGGCCUCACGGUCUAAAAGUUAUAGAGUAUUACAUUUUUAACAAAAAAAAAAAGAGAAAAACCGAAAAAAAGAGGGAUGCAACACGAAGACUUUUCUGGAGGUCACCCAUCCUAGUACUACUCUCCCCCAAGCACGCUUAACUGUGGUGUUCUGAUAGGAUCAAGUGCAUUAGUGCUGGUAUGAUCGCAUCAGUUACUACAUGCAAUGCAAUCAUAUAUAUUCUUUUUUGAAGACUUUAUGAUCCAUUUGCCGUAGGUCCCACCAGCUAUGUAGGAAUACCCUAUCUUGUUUAUAAGAGCUUUGAUACAUGCAAAAUAUUCGAAAACAAUGUCCGAACAUAUAAUUUUUGUCCCGUAAUAUAGCAAAGAUCACGAAAAGGUCAGAAAAAAUAUAUUUCGGUCAAAAUUUGGAGUAGAAAAAAAGCCCUUCCUCAUUCAUUGGACAGCUCUCUUUGGGCUUUCCGAAAAGGUAUCACAUGCCAAGUUUGGCCUCACGGUCUAAACCUUAUAGACUCAUACAUUUUUCAUAAAAAAAAGAAGAGAAAAACAAAAAAAAAAAGAGUGAUUAAACACGAGGACUUUCCUGGAGGUCACCCAUCCUAGUACUACUCUCGCCCAAGCACGCUUAACUACGAAGUUCCGAUGGGAUCUGAUGCAUUAGUGCUGGUAUGAUCGCAUCUGUUACUACAUGCAAUGCAAUCGUAUCUAUUCUUUUUUGAAGAUUUUAUGAUUCAUUUACUGUGGGUCCCACCAGCUAUGUAGGAAUAACCUAUCUUAUUUAUAAAAGCUUUGAUACAUGCAAAAUAUUGGAAAACAAUGUCCGAACAUAUAAUGUUCGCCCCAAAAUAUAGCAAAGACCACAAAAAUGCCAUAAAAAGUACAUUAAGGUCAAAAUUUGGAGUAGGAAAAAAAUCAAUAGGAGAAUUCCAUUUUCCUUCCCUCAUUCAUCGGAGAGCUCUCUUUGGGCAUUCCAAAAAGGUAUCACAUGCCAAGUUUGGCCUCACGGUCUAAAAGUUAUAGAGUAAUACAUUUUUAACAAAAAAAAAAAAGAAAAAAACCGAAAACAAAGAGGGAUGCAACACGAAGACUUUCCUGGAGGUCACCCAUCCUAGUACUACUCUCACCCAAGCACACUUAACUGUGGUGUUCUGAUAGGAUCAAGUGCAUUAGUGCUGGUAUGAUCGCAUCAGUUACUACAUGCAAUGCAAUCGUAUCUAUUAUUUUUUGAAGACUUUAUGAUCCAUUUGCCGUGGGUCCCACCAGCUAUGUAGGAAUACCCUAUCUUGUUUAUAAGAGCUUUGAUACAUCCAAAAUAUUCGAAAACAAUGUUGGAACGUAUAAGUUUUGCCCAGUAAUAUAGCAAAGAUCACGAAAAGGCCACAAAAAGUACAUUAAGGUAAAAAUUUAGAGUAGGAAACAAAAACAAUAGGAGAAUUCCAUUUUCCUUCCUCAAUCAUCGGAGAGUUCUUUUUGGGCUUUCCAAAAAGGUAUCACAUGCCAAGUUUGGCCUCACGGUCUAAAAGUUAUAGAGUAAUACAUUUUUAACAAAAAAAAAAAGAAAAAAACCGAAAACAAAGAGGGAUGCAACACGAAGACUUUCCUGGAGGUCACCUAUCCUAGUACUACUCUCGCCCAAGCACACUUAACUGUGGUGUUCUGAUAGGAUCAAGUGCAUUAGUGCUGGUAUGAUCGCAUCAGUUACUACAUGCAAUGCAAUCGUAUCUAUUAUUUUUUGAAGACUUUAUGAUCCAUUUGCCGUGGGUCCCACCAGCUAUGUAGGAAUACCCAAUCUUGUUUAUAAGAGCUUUGAUACAUCCAAAAUAUUCGAAAACAAUGUUGGAACGUAUAAGUUUUGCCCAGUAAUAUAGCAAAGAUCACGAAAAGGCCACAAAAAGUACAUUAAGGUAAAAAUUUAGAGUAGGAAACAAAAACAAUAGGAGAAUUCCAUUUUCCUUCCUCAAUCAUCGGAGAGUUCUUUUUGGGCUUUCCAAAAAGGUAUCACAUGCCAAGUUUGGCCUCACGGUCUAAAAGUUAUAGAGUCAUACAUUUUUAACAAAAAAGAGGGAUUUAACACGAGGACUUUCCGAGAGGUAACCCAUCCUAGUAGUACACUCGCCCAAGCACCCUUAACUACGGAGUUCUAAUGGGAUACGGUGCAUUAGUGCUCGUAUGAUCGCAUGUGUUACUACAUGCAAUGUAAUCGUAUCUAUUCUUUUUUAAAGACUUUAUGAUCCAUUUGCCGUGGGUCCCACCAGCUAUGUAGGAAUAUCCUAUAUUCUUUAUAAGAGCUUUGAUACAUGCAAAAUAUUCGAAAACAAUGUCCGAACAUAUAAUUUCCCCCCCGUAAUAUAGCAAAGAUCACGAAAAGGCCCAAAAAAGUACAUUAAGUUUAAAAUUUGGAGUAGAAAAAAAACCAAUAGAAAAAUUCCAUUUUCCUUCCUCAGUCAUCGAAGAGCUCUCUUUGGGCUUUCUGAAAAGGUAUCACAUGCCAAGUUUGGCCUCACGGUCUAAAAGUUAUAGAGUCAUACAUUUUUAACAAAACAAAAAGAGAAAAACCGAAAAAAACAGGGAUGCAACACGAGGACUUUCCUGGAGGUCUCCCAUCCUAGUACUACUCUCGCCCAAGCACCCUUAACUGCGUAGUUCUGAUGGGAUCCGAUGCAUUAGUGCUGGUAUGAUCGCAUCUGUUACUACAUGCAAUGUAAUCGUAUCUAUUCUUUUUUAAAGACUUUAUGAUCCAUUUGCCGUGGGUCCCACCAGCUAUGUAGGAAUACCCUAUCUUCUUAAUAAGAGCCUUGAUAAAUGCAAAAUAUUGGAAAACAAUGUCCGAACAUAUAAUGCCCCCCCCCCCGUAAUAUAGCAAAGAUCACGAAAAUGCCCAAAAAAGUACAUUUAGGUCAAAAUUUGAGUAGAAAAAAAAACAAUAGAAGAAUUCCAUUUUCCUUCCUCAUUUAUCGGAGAGCUCUCUUUGGGCUUUCCGAAAAGGUAUCACAUGACAAGUUUGGCCUCACGGUCUAAAAGAUAUAGAGUCAUACAUUAUUAACAAAACAAAAUAGAGAAAAACCGAAAAAAAAGAGGGAUGCAACGCGAGGACUUUCCGGGAGGUAAUCUAUCCUAGUACUACUCUCGCCCAAGCACCCUUACCUGCGGAGUUCUGAUGGGAUCCGGUGCAGUAGUGCUGGUAUGAUCGCAUGUGUUACUACAUGCAAUGCAAUCAUAUAUAUUCUUUUUUGAAGACUUUAUGAUCCAUUUGCCGUAGGUCCCACCAGCUAUGUAGGAAUACCCUAUCUUGUUUAUAAGAGCUUUGAUACAUGCAAAAUAUUCGAAAACAAUGUCCGAACAUAUAAUUUUUGUCCCGUAAUAUAGCAAAGAUCACGAAAAGGCCAGAAAAAAUACAUUUCGGUCAAAAUUUGGAGUAGAAAAAAACCCCUUCCUCAUUCAUUGGACAGCUCUCUUUGGGCUUUCCGAAAAGGUAUCACAUGCCAAGUUUGGUCUCACGGUUUAAAAGUUAUAGAGUCAUACAUUUUUCACAAAAAAAAGAAGAGAAAAAACAAAAAAAAGAGUGAUGAAACACGAGGACUUUCCUAGAGGUCACCCAUCCUAGUACUACUCUCGCCCAAGCACGCGUAACUGCGAAGUUCUGAUGGGAUCUGGUGCAUUAGUGCUGGUAUGAUCGCAUCUGUUACUACAUGCAAUGCAAUCGUAUCUAUUCUUUUUUGAAGAUUUUAUGAUCCAUUUGCAGUGGGUCCCACCAGCUAUGUAGGAAUACCCUAUCUUGUUUAUAAGAGCUUUGAUACAUGCAAAAUCUUCGAAAACAAUGUCCGAACAUAUAAUUUUCGCCCCGUAAUAUAGCAAAGAUCACGAAAAUGCCAAAAUAGUACAUUAAGGUCAAAAUUUGGAGUAGGAAAAAAAACCCUUCAUCAUUCAUUGGAGAGCUCUCUCUGGGCUUUCCGAAAAGGUAUCACAUGCCAAGUUUGGCCUCACGGUCUAAAAGUUAUAAAGUCAUACAUUUUUAACAAAAAAAAAAGAGAAAAACCGAAAAAAAGAGUUAUGUAACACGAGGACUUUCCUGGAGGUCACCCGUCCUAGUACUACUCUCGCCCAAACACGCUUAACUGUGGUGUUCUGAUAGGAUCAAGUGCAUUAGUGCUGGUAUGAUCGCAUCAGUUACUACAUGCAAUGCAAUCAUAUAUAUUCUUUUUUGAAAACUUUAUGAUCCAUUUGCCGUAGGUCCCACCAGCUAUGUCGGAAUACCCUAUCUUGUUUAUAAGAGCUUUGAUACAUGCAAAAUAUUCGAAAACAAUGUCCGAACAUAUAAUUUUUGUCCCGUAAUAUAGCAAAGAUCACGAAAAGGCCAAAAAAAAUACAUUUCGGUCAAAAUUUGGAGUAGAAAAAAACCCCUUCCUCAUUCAUUCGACAACUCUCUUUGGGCUUUCCGAAAAGGUAUCACAUGCCAAGUUUGGUCUCACGGUCUAAAAGUUAUAGAGUCAUACAUUUUUCACAAAAAAAAGAAGAGAAAAAACCAAAAAANAGAGUGAUGAAACACGAGGACUUUCCUGGAGGUCACUCAUGCUAGUACUACUCUCGCCCAAGCACGCUUAACUGCGAAGUUCUGAUGGGAUCNNNNNNNNNNNNNNNNNNNNNNNNNNNNNNNNNNNNNNNNNNNNNNNNNNNNNNNNNNNNNNNNNNNNNNNNNNNNNNNNNNNNNNNNNNNNNNNNNNNNUUAUGAUCCAUUUGCCGUGGGUCCCACCAGCUAUGUAGGAAUACCCUAUCUUCUUUAUAAGAGCUUUGAUACAUGGAAAAUAUUGGAAAACAAUGUCCGAACAUAUAAUUUCCCCCCCGUAAUAUAGCAAAGAUCACGAAAAGGCCCGAAAAAGUACAUUUAGUUUAAAAUUUGGAGUAGAAAAAAAAACAAUAGAAAAAAUCCAAUUUCCUCCCUCGUUCAUCGGAGAGCUCUCUUUGGGCUUUCCAAAAAGGUAUCACAAGACAAGUUUGGCCUCACCGUCUAAAAGUUAUAGAGUCAUACAUUUUUAACAAAACAAAAUAGAGAAAAACGGAAAAAAGAGGGAUGCAACAUGAGGACUUUCCGGGAGGUCACCCAUCCUAGUACUACUCUCGUCCAAGGACCCUUAACUGCGAAGUUCUGAUGGGAUCCGUUGCAUUAGUGCUGGUAUGAUCGCAUGUGUUACUACAUGCAAUGUAAUCGUAUCUAUUCUUUUUUAAAGACUUUAUGAUCCAUUUGCCGUGGGUCCCACCAGCUAUGUAGGAAAACCCAAUCUUCUUUAUAAGAGCUUUGAUACAUGCAAAAUAUUGGAAAACAAUGUCCGAACAUAUAAUUUUCCCCCAUAAUAUAGCAAAGAUCACGAAAAGGCCCGAAAAAGUACAUUUAGUUCAAAAUUUGGAGUAGAAAAAAAGGCAGUAAAAGAAUUCCAUUUUCCUUCCUCAGUGAUCGGAGAGCUCUCUUUGGACUUUCCGAAAAGGUAUCACAUGCCAAGUUUGGCCUCACGGUCUAAAAGUUAUAGAGUCAUACAUUUUUAACAAAACAAAAUAGAGAAAAACGGAAAAAAGAGGGAUGCAACACGAGGACUUUCCGGGAGGUCACCCAUCCUAGUACUACUUUCGCCCAAGCACCCUUAACUGCGGAGUUCUGAUGGGAUCCGGUGCAUUAGUGCUGGUAUGAUCGCAUGUGUUACUACAUGCAAUGUAAUCAUAUUUCUUGUUAUUUAAAGAUUUUAUGAUCCAUUUGCCGUGGGUCCCACCAGCUAUGUAGGAAUACCUUAUCUUCUUUAUAGGAGCUUUGAUACAUGCAAAAUAUUGGAAAACAAUAUCCGAACAUAUAUCUUUCCCCCCGUAAUAUAGCAAAGAUCGCGAAAAGGCCCGAAAAAGUACAUUUAGGUCAAAAUUUGGAGUAGAAAAAAAAAGCAAUAGAAGAAUUCCAUUUUCCUUCCUCAGUCAUCGGAGAGCUCUCUUUGGGCUUUCCGAAAAGGUAUCACAUGCCAAGUUUGGCCUCAUGGUCUAAAAGUUAUAGAGCCAUACAUUUUUAACAAAACAAAAUAGAGAAAAACCAAAAAAAGAGAGGGAUGCAACACGAGGACUUUCCGGGAGGUCACCCAUCCUAGUACUACUCUCGCCCAAGCACCCUUAACUGCGGAGUUCUGAUGGGAUCCAGUGCAUUAGUGCUGGUAUGAUCGCAUGUGUUACUACAUGCAAUGUAAUCGUAUCUAUUCUUUUUUAAAGAUUAUAUGAUCCAUUUGCCGUGGGUCCCACCAGCUAUGUAGGAAUACCCUAUCUUCUUUAUAAGAGCUUUGAUACAUGCAAAAUAUUGGAAAACAAUGUCCGAACAUAUAAUUUUCCCCCCGUAAUAUAGCAAAGAUCACGAAAAGGCCCAAAAAAGUACAUUUAGGUCAAAAUUUGGAGUUGAAAAAAAACAAAAAGAAGAAUUCCAUUUUCCUUCCUCAUUCAUUGGAGAGCUCUCUUUGGGCUUUCCGAAAAGGUAUCACAUGCCAUGUUUAGCCUCACGGUCUAAAAGUUAUAGAGUCAUACAUUUUUAACAAAACAAAAUAGAGAAAAACCAAAAAAACGAGGGAUGCAACACGAGGACUUUCUGGGAAGUCACCUAUCCUAGUACUACUCUCGCCCAAGCACCCUUAACUGCGGAGUUCUGAUGGGAUCCGGUGCAUUAGUGCUGGUAUGAUUGCAUGUGUUACUACAUGCAAUGUAAUCGUAUCUAAUGCUUUUAAAGACUUUAUGAUCCAUUUGCCGUGGGUCCCCACAAGCUAAGUAGGAAUACCCUAUCUUCUUUAUAAGAGUUUUCAUACAUGCAAAAUAUGGAAAACAAUGUCCGAACAUAUAUUUUCCCCCCGUAAUAUAGCAAAGAUCACGAAAAGGCCCACAAAAAGUACAUUUAGUUCAAAAUUUGGAGUAGAAAAAAAAACAAUAGAAAAGUUCCAAUUUCNNNNNNNNNNNNNNNNNNNNNNNNNNNNNNNNNNNNNNNNNNNNNNNNNNGGGUCCCACCAGCUACGUAGGAAUACCCUAUCUUGUUUAUAAGAGCUUUGAUACAUGCAAAAUAUUCGAAAACAAUGUCCGAACAUAUAAUUUUCGUCCCGUAAUAUAGCAAAGAUCACAAAAAGGCCAGAAAGAGUACAUUUACGUCAAAAUUUGGAUAGAAAAAAAACGAAUAGAAGAAUUCCAUUUUGACUUCCUCAUUCAUCGGAAAGCUCUCUUUGGGCUUUCCGAAAAGGUAUCACAUGCCAAGUUUGGAAUCACGGUUUAAAAGUUAUAGAGUCAUACAUUUUUAACAAAAAAUAAAGAGAAAACCCGAAAAAUGAGGGAUGCAACACGAGGACUUUUCGGGAGGUCACCCAUCGUAGUACUACUCUCGCCCAAGCACGCUUAACUGUAGAGUUCUGAUGGGAUCCGGUUCAUUAUUGCUGGUAUGAUCGCAUCCGUUACUACAUGCAAUGCAAUCGUAUCUAUUCUUUUUUGAAGACUUUAUGAUCCAUUUGCCGUGGGUCCCACCAGCUAUGUUGGAAUACCCUAUCUUGUUUAUAAGAGCUUUGUUACAUGCAAAAUAUUCGAAAACAAUGUCCGAACAUAUAAUAUUUGCCCCGUAAUAUAGCAAAGAUCACGAAAAGGCCAGAAAACCUAUAUUAAGUUCAAAAUUUGGAGUAGAAAAAAACCAAUAGAAGAAUUCCAUUUUCCUUCCUCACUCAUCGGAGAGCUCUCUUUGGGGCUUUCCGAAAAGGUAUCACAUGCAAAGUUUGGCCUCACAGGCUAAAAGUUAUAGAGUCGUACAUUUUUAACAAAAAAAAAAAGAGAAAAGCCGAAAAAAAGAAGGAUGCAACACAAGGACUUUCCGGGAGGUCAGCCAUCCUAAUAUUACUCUCGCCCAAGCACGCUUAACUGUAGAGUUCUGAUGGGAUCCGGUGCAUUAGUGCUGGUAUGAUCGCAUCUGUUACUACAUGCAAUGCAAUCGUAUCUAUUCUUUUUUUAAGACUUUAUGAUCCAUUUACCGUGGGUCCCACCAGCUACGUAGGAAUAACCUAUCUUAUUUAUAAGAGCUUUGAUACAUGCAAAAUAUUCGAAAACAAUGUCCGAACAUAUAAUUUUCGUCCCGUAAUAUAGCAAAGAUCACAAAAAGGCCAGAAAGAGUACAUUAAGGUCAAAAUUUUGGAGUAGAAAAAAAAACCCUUCCUCAUUCAUUAAAGAGCUCUCUUUGGCAUUUCCGAAAAGGUGUCACAUGCCAAGUUCGGCCUCACGGUCUAAAAGUUAUAGAGUCAUACAUUGUUAACAAAAAAAAAGAGAAAAACCGAUUAAAAGAGUUAUGCAACACAAGGACUUUCCUGGAGGUCACCCGUCCUAGUACUACUCUCGCCCAAGCACGCUUAAAUGCGGAGUUCUGAUGGGAUCCGGUCCAUGAGUGGUGGUAUGAUCACAUCCGUUACUACAUGCAAUGCAAUCGUAUCUAUUAUUUUUUGAAGACUUUAUGAUCCAUUUGCCGUGGGUCCCACCAGCUAUGUAGGAAUACCCUAUCUUGUUUAUAAGAGCUUUGAUACAUCCAAAAUAUUCGAAAACAAUGUUGGAACGUAUAAGUUUCGCUCAGUAAUAUAGCAAAGAUCACGAAAAGGCCACAAAAAGUACAUUAAGGUAAAAAUUUAGAGUAGGAAAAAAAAACAAUAGGAGAAUUCCAUGUUCCUUCCUCAAUCAUCGGAGAGCUCUCUUUGGGCUUUCCAAAAAGGUAUCACAUGCCAAGUUUGGCCUCACGGUCUAAAAGUUAUAGAGUCAUACAUUUUUAACAAAAAAAAAUAGAGAAAAACCAAAAAAAAGAGGGAUGCAACACGAAGACUUUCCUGGAGGUCACCCAUCCUAGUACUACUCUCGCCCAAGCACGCUUAACUGCGGUGUUCUGAUAGGAUCAAGUGCAUUAGUGCUGGUAGGAUCGCAUUCGUUACUACAUGCAAUGCAAUUAUAUAUAUUCUUUUUUGAAGACUUUAUGAUCCAUUUGCGGUAGGUCCCACCAGCUAUGUAGGAAUACCCUAUCUUGCUUAUAAGAGUUUUGAUACAUGCAAAAAUAUUCGAAAACAAUGUCCGAACAUAUAAUUUUUGUCCCGUAAUAUAACAAAGAUCACGAAAAGGCCAAAAAUAGUACAUUUCGGUCAAAACAUGGAGCAGAAAAAAAACCCCUUCCUCAUUCAUCGGAGAGCUCUCAUUGGGCUUUCCGAAAAGAUAUCACAUGCAAAGUUUGGCCUCACGGUUUAAAAGUUAUAGAGUCAAAUAUUUUUAACAAAAAAAAGAGAGAAAAACCGAAAACAAAGAGGGAUGCAACACGAGGACUUUCCGGAAGGUCACCCAUCCUAGUACUACUCUAGCCCAAGCACGCUUAACCGCGGAGUUCUGAUAGGAUCCGGUGCAUUAGUGCUGGUAUGAUCGCAUCAGUUACUACAUGCAAUGCAAUCAUAUAUAUUUUUUUUGAAGACUUUAUGAUCCAUUUGCCGUGGGUCCCACCAGCUAUGUAGGAAUACCUAUCUUGUUUAUAAGAGCUUUGAUACAUGCAAAAUAUUUGAAAACAAUGUCCGAACGUAUAAUCUUCGUCCCGUAAUAUAGCAAAGAUCACGAAAAGGCCAGAAAAAGUACAUUAAGGUCAAAAUUUUGACUAGAAAAAAAAAACAAUAGAAAAAUUCCAUUGUCCUUCCUCAUUCAUCGGAGAGUUCUCUUUGGGCUUUCCGAAAAGGUAUCACAUGCCAAGUUUGGCCUCACGGUCUAAAACUUAUAGAAUCAUACAUUCUUAACAAAAAAAAAAAAAAAACCGAAAAAAAGAAGAAUGCAACACAAGGACUUUCCAGGAGGUCAACCAUCCUAGUAGUACUCUCGCCCAAUCACGCUUAACUGCAGAGUUCUGAUGGGAUCCGGUGCAUUAGUGCUGGUAUGAUCGCAUCUGUUACUACAUGCAAUGCAAUCGUAUCUAUUCUUUUUUGAAGACUUUAUGAUCCAUUUGCCGUGGGUCCCACCAGCUAUGUAGGAAUACCUUAUCUUGUUUAUAAGAGCUUUGAUACAUGCAAAAUAUUCGAAUACAAUGUCUGAACGUAUAACUUUCGCCCCGUAAUAUAGCGAAGAUCACGAAAAGGCCCGAAAAAGUACAUUAAGGUCAAAAUUUCGAGUAGAAAUAAAAACCAAUAGAAGAAUUCCAAUUUCCUUCCUCAUUCAUUGGAGAGCUCUCUUUGGGCUUUCCGAAAAGGUAUCACAUGCGAAGUUUCGCCUCACAAUCUAAAAGUUAUAUAGUCAUACAUUUUUAACAAAACAAAUAGAGAAAAACCGAAAAAAAGAAUGAUACAACACAACGACUUUCCCGGAGGUCACCCAUCCUAAUACUAUUCUCGCCCAAGCAAGCUUAACUGCAGAGUAUUGAUGGGAUCUGAUGCAUAAGUGCUGAUAUGAUCGCAUCCGUUACUACAUGCAAUGCAAUCGUAUCUAUUCGUUUUUGAAGACUUUAUGAUCCAUUUGCCGUGGGUCCCACCAGCUAUGUAGGAAUACCCUAUCUUGUUUAUAAGAGCUUUGAUACAUGCAAAAAAUUGGAAAACAAUGUCUGAACAUAUAAUUUUUGUCCCGUAAUAUAGCAAAGAUCACGAAAAGGAUAGAAAAAGUACAUUAAGGUCAAAAUUUUGAGUAGAAAAAAAAUCAAUAGAAGGAUUCCAAUUUCCUUGCUCAUUCAUAUAGCUCUCUUUGGGCUUUCCGAAAAGGUAUCACAUGCAAAGUUUGGCCUCGCGGUCUAAAAGUUAUAGAGGUAUACUUUUUUACCAAAAAAAAAGAAGAAAAAAACCAAAAAAAAGAGGGAUUCAACACGAGGACUUUCUGGGAGGUCACUCAUCCUAUUACUACUCUCGCCCAAGCACGCUUAACUGCGGAGUUCUGAUAGGAUCCAGUGCAUUAGUGCGGGUAUGAUCACAUCCGUUACUACAUGCAAUGCAAUCGUAUAUAUUUUUUUUGAAGACUUUAUGAUCCAUUUGCCGUGGGUCUCACCAGCUAUAUAGGAAUACCCUAUCUUGUUUAUAAGAGCUUUGAUACAUGCAAAAUAUUUGAAAACAAUGUCCGAACGUAUAAUCUUCGUCCCGUAAUAUAGCAAAGAUCACUAAAAGGCUAGAAAAAGUACAUUAAGAUCAAAAUUUUGAGUAGAAAAAUAAACAAUAGAAAAAUUCCAUUGUCCUUCCUCAUUCAUCGGAGAGUUCUCUUUGGGCUUUCCGAAAAGGUAUCACAUGCCAAGUUUGGCCUCACGGUCUAAAACUUAUAGAAUCAUACAUUCUUAACAAAAAAAAAAGAGAAAAACCGAAAAAAAGAAGAAUUUAACACAAGGACUUUCCAGGAGGUCAACCAUCCUAGUAGUACUCUCGCCCAAUCACGCUUAACUGCAGAGUUCUGAUGGGAUCCGGUGCAUUAGUGCUGGUAUGAUCGCAUCUGUUACUACAUGCAAUGCAAUCGUAUCUGUUACUACAUGCAAUGCAAUCGUAUCUGUUACUACAUGCAAUGCAAUCGUAUCUAUUCUUUUUUGAAGACUUUAUGAUCCAUUUGCCGUGGGUCCCACCAGCUAUGUAGGAAUACCCUAUCUUGUUUAUAAGAGCUUUGAUACAUGCAAAAUAUUCGAAUACAAUGUCUAAACGUAUAAGUUUCGCCCCGUAAUAUAGCGAAGAUCACGAAAAGGCCCGAAAAAGUACAUUAAGGUCAAAAUUUGGAGUAGAAAUAAAAACCAAUAGAAGAAUUCCAAUUUCCUUCCUCAUUCAUUGGAGAGCUCUCUUUGGGCUUUCCGAAAAGGUAUCACAUGCGAAGUUUGGCCUCACAAUCUAAAAGUUAUAUAGUCAUACAUUUUUAACAAAACAAAUAGAGAAAAACCGAAAAAAAGAAUGAUACAACACAAGGACUUUCCGGGAGGUCACCCAUCCUAAUACUAUUCUCGCCCAAGCAAGCUUAACUGCAGAGUAUUGAUGGGAUCUGAUGCAUAAGGGCUGAUAUGAUCGCAUCCGUUACUACAAGCAAUGCAAUCGUAUCUAUUCGUUUUUGAAGACUUUAUGAUCCAUUUGCCGUGGGUCCCACCAGCUAUGUAGGAAUACCCUAUCUUGUUUAUAAGAGCUUUGAUACAUGCAAAAAAUUGGAAAACAAUGUCUGAACAUAUAAUUUUUGUCCCGUAAUAUAGCAAAGAUCACGAAAAGGAUAGAAAAAGUACAUUAAGGUCAAAAUUUUGAGUAGAAAAAAAAUCAAUAGAAGGAUUCCAAUUUCCUUCCUCAUUCAUAUAGCUCUCUUUGGGCUUUCCGAAAAGGUAUCACAUGCAAAGUUUGGCCCCGCGGUCUAAAAGUUAUAGAGGUAUACAUUUUUACCAAAAAAAAGAGGGAUUCAACACGAGGACUUUUUUNNNNNNNNNNNNNNNNNNNNNNNNNNNNNNNNNNNNNNNNNNNNNNNNNNUGCUGGUAUGAUCGCAUCAGUUACUACAUGCAAUGCAAUCAUAUAUAUUCUUUUUUGAAGACUUUAUGAUCCAUUUGCCGUAGGUCCCACCAGCUAUGUAGGAAUACCCUAUCUUGUUUAUAAGAGCUUUGAUACAUGCAAAAUAUUCGAAAACAAUGUCCGAACAUAUAAUUUUUGUCCCGUAAUAUAGCAAAGAUCACGAAAAGGCCAGAAAAAAUACAUUUCGGUCAAAAUUUGGAGUAGAAAAAAAGCCCUUCCUCAUUCAUUGGACAGCUCUCUUUGGGCUUUCCGAAAAGGUAUCACAUGCCAAGUUUGGCCUCACGGUCUAAACCUUAUAGACUCAUACAUUUUUCACAAAAAAAAGAAGAGAAAAACCAAAAAAAAGAGUGAUUAAACACGAGGAUUUUCCUGGAGGUCACCCAUCCUAGUACUACUCUCGCCCAAGCACGCUUAACUGCGAAGGUCUGAUGGGAUAUGGUGCAUUAGUGCUGGUAUGAUCGCAUCUGUUACUACAUGCAAUGCAAUCGUAUCUAUUCUUUUUUGAAGAUUUGAUGAUUCAUUUACCGUGGGUCCCACCAGCUAUGUAGGAAUAACCUAUCUUAUUUAUAAAAGCUUUGAUACAUGCAAAAUAUUCGAAAACAAUGUCCGAACAUAUAAUGUUCGCCCCAAAAUAUAGCAAAGACCACAAAAAUGCCAUAAAAAGUACAUUAAGGUCAAAAUUUGGAGUAGGAAAAAAAUCAAUAGGAGAAUUCCAUUUUCCUUCCCUCAUUCAUCAGAGAGCUCUCUUUGGGCAUUCCAAAAAGGUAUCACAUGCCAAGUUUGGCCUCACGGUCUAAAAGUUAUAGAGUAUUACAUUUUUAACAAAAAAAAAAGGGAAAAACCGAAAAAGAGGGAUGCAACACGAAGACUUUUCUGGAGGUCACCCAUUCUAGUACUACUCUCCCCCAAGCACGCUUAACUGUGGUGUUCUAAUAGGAUCAAGUGCAUUAGUGCUGGUAUGAUCGCAUCAGUUACUACAUGCAAUGCAAUCAUAUAUAUUCUUUUUUGAAGACUUUAUGAUCCAUUUGCCGUAGGUCCCACCAGCUAUGUAGGAAUACCCUAUCUUGUUUAUAAGAGCUUUGAUACAUGCAAAAUAUUCGAAAACAAUGUCCGAACAUAUAAUUUUUGUCCCGUAAUAUAGCAAAGAUCACGAAAAGGCCAGAAAAAAUACAUUUCGGUCAAAAUUUGGAGUAGAAAAAAAGCCCUUCCUCAUUCAUUGGACAGCUCUCUUUGGGCUUUCCGAAAAGGUAUCAUAUGCCAAGUUUGGCCUCACGGUCUAAACCUUAUAGACUCAUACAUUUUUCACAAAAAAAAGAAGAGAAAAACCAAAAAAAAGAGUGAUUAAACACGAGGACUUUCCUGGAGGUCAUCCAUCCUAGUACUACUCUCGCCCAAGCACGCUUAAUUGCGAAGUUCUGAUGGGAUCUGGUGCAUUAGUGCUGGUAUGAUCGCAUAUGUUACUACAUGCAAUGCAAUCGUAUCUAUUCUUUUUUGAAGAUUUUAUGAUUCAUUUACCGUGGGUACCACCAGCUAUGUAGGAAUAACCUAUCUUAUUUAUAAGAGCUUUGAUACAUGCAAAAUAUUCGAAAACAAUGUCCGAACAUAUAAUUUUUGUCCCGUAAUAUAGCAAAGAUCACGAAAAGGCCAGAAAAAAUACAUUUCGGUCAAAAUUUGGAGUAGAAAAAAACCCUUCCUCAUUCAUUGGACAGCUCUGUUUGAGCUUUCCGAAAAGGUAUCACAUGCCAAGUUUGGCCUCACGGUCUAAAAGUUAUAGAGUCAUACAUUUUUCACAAAAAAAAGAAGAGAAAAACCAAAAAAAAGAGUGAUGAAACACGAGGACUUUCCUGGAGGUCACCCAUCCUAGUACUACUCUCGCCCAAGCACGCGUAACUGCGAAGUUCUGAUGGGAUCUGGUGCAUUAGUGCUGGUAUGAUCGCAUCUGUUACUACAUGCAAUGCAAUCGUAUCUAUUCUUUUUUGAAGAUUUUAUGAUUCAUUUACCGUGGGUCCCACCAGCUAUGUAGGAAUAACCUAUCUUAUUUAUAAGAGCUUUGAUACAUGCAAAAUAUUGGAAAACAAUGUCCGAACAUAUAAUGUUCGCCCCAAAAUAUAGCAAAGACAACAAAAAUCCCAUAAAAAGUACAUUAAGGUCAAAAUUUGGAGUAGGAAAAAAAUCAAUAAGAGAAUUCCAUUUUCCUUCCCUCAUUCAUCGGAGAGGUCUCUUUGGGCAUUCCAAAAAGGUAUCACAUGCCAAGUUUGGCCUCACGGUCUAAAAGUUAUAGAGUAAUACAUUUUUAACAAAAAAAAAAGAGAAAAACCGAAAAAAAGAGGGAUGCAACACGAAGACUUUUCUGGAGGUCACCCAUCCUAGUACUACUCUCCCAAAGCACGCUUAACUGUGGUGUUCUGAUAGGAUCAAGUGCAUUAGUGCGGGUAUGAUCGCAUCAGUUACUACAUGCAAUGCAAUCAUAUAUAUUCUUUUUUGAAGACUUUAUGAUCCAUUUGCCGUAGGUCCCACCAGCUAUGUAGGAAUACCCUAUCUUGUUUAUAAGAGCUUUGAUACAUGCAAAAUAUUCGAAAACAAUGUCCGAACAUAUAAUUUUUGUCCCGUAAUAUAGCAAAGAUCACGAAAAGGCCAGGAAAAAUACAUUUCGGUCAAAAUUUGGAGUAGAAAAAAAACCCUUCCUCAUUCAUUGGACAGCUCUCUUUGGGCUUUCCGAAAAGGUAUCACAUGCCAAGUUUGGCCUCACGGUCUAAAAGUUAUAGAUUCAUACAUUUUUCACAAAAAAAAGAAGAGAAAAACCAAAAAAAAGAGGGAUGAAACACGAGGACUUUCCCAGAGGUCACCCAUCCUAGUACUACUCUCGCCCAAGCACGCUUAACUGCGAAGUUCUGAUGGGAUCUGGUGCAUUAGUGCUGGUAUGAUCGCAUCUGUUACUACAUGCAAUGCAAUCGUAUCUAUUCUUUUUUGAAGAUUUUAUGAUUCAUUUACCGUGGGUCCCACCAGCUAUGUAGGAAAACCUAUCUUAUUUAUAAGAUCUUUGAUACAUGCAAAAUAUUGGAAAACAAUGUCCGAACAUAUAAUGUUCGCCCCAAAAUAUAGCGAAGACCACAAAAAUGCCAUAAAAAGUACAUUAAGGUCAAAAUUUGGAGUAGGAAAAAAAUCAAUAGGAGAAUUCCAUUUUCCUUCCCUCAUUCAUCGGAGAGCUCUCUUUGGGCAUUCCAAAAAGGUAUCACAUGCCAAGUUUGGCCUCACGGUCUAAAAGUUAUAGAAUAUUACAUUUUUAACAAAAAAAAAGAGAAAAACCAAAAAAAAGAGGGAUGCAACACGAGGACUUUUCUGGAGGUCACCCAUCCUACUACUACUCUCGCCCAAGCACACUUAACUGCGGUGUUCUGAUAGGAUCAAGUGCAUUAGUGCUGGUAUGAUCGCAUCAGUUACUACAUGCAAUGCAAUCAUAUAUAUUCUUUUUUGAAGACUUUAUGAUCCAUUUGCCGUAGGUCCCACCAGCUAUGUAGGAAUACCCUAUCUUGUUUAUAAGAGCUUUGAUACAUGCAAAAUAUUCGAAAACAAUGUCCGAACAUAUAAUUUUUGUCCCGUAAUAUAGCAAAGAUCACGAAAAGGCCAGAAAAAAUACAUUUUGGUCAAAAUUUGGAGUAGAAAAAAAGCCCUUCCUCAUUCAUUGGACAGCUCUCUUUGGGCUUUCCGAAAAGGUAUCACAUGCCAAGUUUGGCCUCACGGUCUAAACCUUAUAGACUCAUACAUUUUUCACAAAAAAAAGAAGAGAAAAACCAAAAAAAAGAGUGAUUAAACACGAGGAUUUUCCUGGAGGUCACCCAUCCUAGUACUACUCUCGCCCAAGCACGCUUAACUGCGAAGGUCUGAUGGGAUAUGGUGCAUUAGUGCUGGUAUGAUCGCAUCUGUUACUACAUGCAAUGCAAUCGUAUCUAUUCUUUUUUGAAGAUUUGAUGAUUCAUUUACCGUGGGUCCCACCAGCUAUGUAGGAAUAACCUAUCUUAUUUAUAAAAGCUUUGAUACAUGCAAAAUAUUCGAAAACAAUGUCCGAACAUAUAAUGUUCGCCCCAAAAUAUAGCAAAGAUCACAAAAAUGCCAUAAAAAGUACAUUAAGGUCAAAAUUUGGAGUAGGAAAAAAAUCAAUAGGAGAAUUCCAUUUUCCUUCCCUCAUUCAUCGGAGAGCUCUCUUUGGGCAUUCCAAAAAGGUAUCACAUGCCAAGUUUGGCCUCACGGUCUAAAAGUUAUAGAGUAUUACAUUUUUAACAAAAAAAAAAGGGAAAAACCGAAAAAGAGGGAUGCAACACGAAGACUUUUCUGGAGGUCACCCAUCCUAGUACUACUCUCCCCCAAGCACGCUUAACUGUGGUGUUCUAAUAGGAUCAUGUGCAUUAGUGCUGGUAUGAUCGCAUCAGUUACUACAUGCAAUGCAAUCAUAUAUAUUCUUUUUUGAAGACUUUAUGAUCCAUUUGCCGUAGGUCCCACCAGCUAUGUAGGAAUACCCUAUCUUGUUUAUAAGAGCUUUGAUACAUGCAAAAUAUUCGAAAACAAUGUCCGAACAUAUAAUUUUUGUCCCGUAAUAUAGCAAAGAUCACGAAAAGGCCAGAAAAAAUACAUUUCGGUCAAAAUUUGGAGUAGAAAAAAAGCCCUUCCUCAUUCAUUGGACAGCUCUCUUUGGGCUUUCCGAAAAGGUAUCAUAUGCCAAGUUUGGCCUCACGGUCUAAACCUUAUAGACUCAUACAUUUUUCACAAAAAAAAGAAGAGAAAAACCAAAAAAAAGAGUGAUUAAACACGAGGACUUUCUUGGAGGUCAUCCAUCCUAGUACUACUCUCGCCCAAGCACGCUUAACUGCGAAGUUCUGAUGGGAUCUGGUGCAUUAGUGCUGGUAUGAUCGCAUCUGUUACUACAUGCAAUGCAAUCGUAUCUAUUCUUUUUUGAAGAUUUUAUGAUUCAUUUACCGUGGGUACCACCAGCUAUGUAGGAAUAACCUAUCUUAUUUAUAAGAGCUUUGAUACAUGCAAAAUAUUCGAAAACAAUGUCCGAACAUAUAAUUUUUGUCCCGUAAUAUAGCAAAGAUCACGAAAAGGCCAGAAAAAAUACAUUUUGGUCAAAAUUUGGAGUAGAAAAAAACCCUUCCUCAUUCAUUGGACAGCUCUGUUUGAGCUUUCCGAAAAGGUAUCACAUGCCAAGUUUGGCCUCACGGUCUAAAAGUUAUAGAGUCAUACAUUUUUCACAAAAAAAAAGAAGAGAAAAACCAAAAAAAAGAGUGAUGAAACACGAGGACUUUCCUGGAGGUCACCCAUCCUAGUACUACUCUCGCCCAAGCACGCGUAACUACGAAGUUCUGAUGGGAUCUGGUGCAUUAGUGCUGGUAUGAUCGCAUCUGUUACUACAUGCAAUGCAAUCGUAUCUAUUCUUUUUUGAAGAUUUUAUGAUUCAUUUACCGUGGGUCCCACCAGCUAUGUAGGAAUAACCUAUCUUAUUUAUAAGAGCUUUGAUACAUGCAAAAUAUUGGAAAACAAUGUCCGAACAUAUAAUGUUCGCCCCAAAAUAUAGCAAAGACAACAAAAAUGCCAUAAAAAGUACAUUAAGGUCAAAAUUUGGAGUAGGAAAAAAAUCAAUAAGAGAAUUCCAUUUUCCUUCCCUCAUUCAUCGGAGAGCUCUCUUUGGGCAUUCCAAAAAGGUAUCACAUGCCAAGUUUGGCCUCACGGUCUAAAAGUUAUAGAGUAGUACAUUUUUAACAAAAAAAAAAGAGAGAAACCGAAAAAAAGAGGGAUGCAACACGAAGACUUUUCUGGAGGUCACCCAUCCUAGUACUACUCUCCCAAAGCACGCUUAACUGUGGUGUUCUGAUAGGAUCAAGUGCAUUAGUGCGGGUAUGAUCGCAUCAGUUACUACAUGCAAUGCAAUCAUAUAUAUUCUUUUUUGAAGACUUUAUGAUCCAUUUGCCGUAGGUCCCACCAGCUAUGUAGGAAUACCCUAUCUUGUUUAUAAGAGCUUUGAUACAUGCAAAAUAUUCGAAAACAAUGUCCGAACAUAUAAUUUUUGUCCCGUAAUAUAGCAAAGAUCACGAAAAGGCCAGGAAAAAUACAUUUCGGUCAAAAUUUGGAGUAGAAAAAAAACCCUUCCUCAUUCAUUGGACAGCUCUCUUUGGGCUUUCCGAAAAGGUAUCACAUGCCAAGUUUGGCCUCACGGUCUAAAAGUUAUAGAUUCAUACAUUUUUCACAAAAAAAAGAAGAGAAAAACCAAAAAAAAGAGGGAUGAAACACGAGGACUUUCCCAGAGGUCACCCAUCCUAGUACUACUCUCGCCCAAGCACGCUUAACUGCGAAGUUCUGAUGGGAUCUGGUGCAUUAGUGCUGGUAUGAUCGCAUCUGUUACUACAUGCAAUGCAAUCGUAUCUAUUCUUUUUUGAAGAUUUUAUGAUUCAUUUACCGUGGGUCCCACCAGCUAUGUAGGAAAACCUAUCUUAUUUAUAAGAUCUUUGAUACAUGCAAAAUAUUGGAAAACAAUGUCCGAACAUAUAAUGUUCGCCCCAAAAUAUAGCGAAGACCACAAAAAUGCCAUAAAAAGUACAUUAAGGUCAAAAUUUGGAGUAGGAAAAAAAUCAAUAGGAGAAUUCCAUUUUCCUUCCCUCAUUCAUCGGAGAGCUCUCUUUGGGCAUUCCAAAAAGGUAUCACAUGCCAAGUUUGGCCUCACGGUCUAAAAGUUAUAGAAUAUUACAUUUUUAACAAAAAAAAAGAGAAAAACCGAAAAAAAGAGGGAUGCAACACGAAGACUUUUCUGGAGGUCACCCAUCCUACUACUACUCUCGCCCAAGCACACUUAACUGCGGUGUUCUGAUAGGAUCAAGUGCAUUAGUGCUGGUAUGAUCGCAUCAGUUACUACAUGCAAUACAAUCAUAUAUAUUCUUUUUUGAAGACUUUAUGAUCCAUUUGCCGUAGGUCCCACCAGCUAUGUAGGAAUACCUUAUCUUGUUUAUAAGAGCUUUGAUACAUGCAAAAUAUUCGAAAACAAUGUCCGAACAUAUAAUUUUUGUCCCGUAAUAUAGCAAAGAUCACGAAAAGGCCAGAAAAAAUACAUUUCGGUCAAAAUUUGGAGUAGAAAAAAAACCCUUCCUCAUUCAUUGGACAGCUCUCUUUGGGCUUUCCGAAAAGGUAUCACAUGCCAAGUUUGGCUUCACGGUCUAAACCUUAUAGACUCAUACAUUUUUCACAAAAAAAAGAAGAGAAAAACAAAAAAAAAGAGUGAUUAAACACGAGGACUUUCCUGGAGGUCACCCAUCCUAGUACUACUCUCGCCCAAGCACUCUUAACUGCGAAGUUCUGAUGGGAUCUGGUGCAUUAGUGCUGGUAUGAACGCAUCUGUUACUACAUGCAAUGCAAUCGUAUGUAUUCUUUUUUGAAGAUUUUAUGAUUCAUUUACCGUGGGUCCCACCAGCUAUGUAGGAAUAACCUAUCUUAUUUAUAAAAGCUUUGAUACAUGCAAAAUAUUCGAAAACAAUGUCCGAACAUAUAAUGUUCGCCCCAAAAUAUAGCAAAGACCACAAAAAUGCCAUAAAAAGUACAUUAAGGUCAAAAUUUGGAGUAGGAAAAAAAUCAAUAGGAGAAUUCCAUUUUCCUUCCCUCAUUCAUCGGAGAGCUCUCUUUGGGCAUUCCAAAAAGGUAUCACAUGCCAAGUUUGGCCUCACGGUCUAAAAGUUAUAGAGUAUUACAUUUUUAACAAAAAAAAAAAGAGAAAAACCGAAAAAAAGAGGGAUGCAACACGAAGACUUUUCUGGAGGUCACCCAUCCUAGUACUACUCUCCCCCAAGCACGCUUAACUGUGGUGUUCUGAUAGGAUCAAGUGCAUUAGUGCUGGUAUGAUCGCAUCAGUUACUACAUGCAAUGCAAUCAUAUAUAUUCUUUUUUGAAGACUUUAUGAUCCAUUUGCCGUAGGUCCCACCAGCUAUGUAGGAAUACCCUAUCUUGUUUAUAAGAGCUUUGAUACAUGCAAAAUAUUCGAAAACAAUGUCCGAACAUAUAAUUUUUGUCCCGUAAUAUAGCAAAGAUCACGAAAAGGUCAGAAAAAAUAUAUUUCGGUCAAAAUUUGGAGUAGAAAAAAAGCCCUUCCUCAUUCAUUGGACAGCUCUCUUUGGGCUUUCCGAAAAGGUAUCACAUGCCAAGUUUGGCCUCACGGUCUAAACCUUAUAGACUCAUACAUUUUUCAUAAAAAAAAGAAGAGAAAAACAAAAAAAAAAAGAGUGAUUAAACACGAGGACUUUCCUGGAGGUCACCCAUCCUAGUACUACUCUCGCCCAAGCACGCUUAACUACGAAGUUCCGAUGGGAUCUGAUGCAUUAGUGCUGGUAUGAUCGCAUCUGUUACUACAUGCAAUGCAAUCGUAUCUAUUCUUUUUUGAAGAUUUUAUGAUUCAUUUACUGUGGGUCCCACCAGCUAUGUAGGAAUAACCUAUCUUAUUUAUAAAAGCUUUGAUACAUGCAAAAUAUUGGAAAACAAUGUCCGAACAUAUAAUGUUCGCCCCAAAAUAUAGCAAAGACCACAAAAAUGCCAUAAAAAGUACAUUAAGGUCAAAAUUUGGAGUAGGAAAAAAAUCAAUAGGAGAAUUCCAUUUUCCUUCCCUCAUUCAUCGGAGAGCUCUCUUUGGGCAUUCCAAAAAGGUAUCACAUGCCAAGUUUGGCCUCACGGUCUAAAAGUUAUAGAGUAAUACAUUUUUAACAAAAAAAAAAAAGAAAAAAACCGAAAACAAAGAGGGAUGCAACACGAAGACUUUCCUGGAGGUCACCCAUCCUAGUACUACUCUCACCCAAGCACACNUUAACUGUGGUGUUCUGAUAGGAUCAAGUGCAUUAGUGCUGGUAUGAUCGCAUCAGUUACUACAUGCAAUGCAAUCNNNNNNNNNNNNNNNNNNNNNNNNNNNNNNNNNNNNNNNNNNNNNNNNNNCUCCUCAGUCAUCUUUGAGCUCUCUUUGGGCUUUCCGAAAAGGUAUCACAUGCCCAGUUUGGCCUCACGGUCUAAAAGUUAUAAAGUCAUACAUUUUUAACAAAAAAAAAAGAGAAAAACCGAAAAAAAGAGGGAUGCAAUACGAGGACUUUCCACGAGGUCACCCAUCCUAGUACAACUCUCGCCAAAGCAUGCUUAACUGCGGAGUUUAGAUGGGAUCUGGUGCAUUAGUGCUGGUAUGAUCGCAUCUGUUACUACAUGCAAUGCAAUCGUAUCUAUUCUUAUUUAAAGACUUUAUCAUCCAUUUGCCAUGGGUCCCACCUGUAGGAAUACCCAAUCUUGUUUAUAAGAGCUUUGAUACAUGCAAAAUAUUCGAAAACAACGUCCGAACAUAUAAUUUUCGCCCCGUAAUAUAGCAAAGAUCACGAAAAGGCCCGAAAAAGUACAUUAAGGUCAAAAUUUGGAAUAGAAAAAAAAACCAAAAGAAGUAUUCCAUUGUCCUUUGUCAUUCAUCGAAGAGCUCUCUUUGGGCUUUCCGAAAAGGUAUCGCAAGCCAAGUUUGGCCUCACGGUUUAAAAGUUAUAAAGUCAUACAUUUUUAACAAAAAAAAAAAGAGAAAAAACCGAAAAAAAGAGGGAUGCAACACGAGGACUUUUCUGGAGGUCACCCAUCCUAGUACUACUCUCGCCCGAUCACCCUUAACUGCGUAGUUUUGAUGGGAUUCGAUGCAUUAGUGCUGGUAUGAUCGCAUCUGUUACUACAUGCAAUGUAAUCGUAUCUAUUCUUUUUUAAAGACUUUAUGAUCCAUUUGCCGUGGGUCCCACCAGCUAUGUAGGAAUACCCUAUCUUCUUUAUAAGAGCUUUGAUAUAUGCAAAAUAGUGGAAAACCAUGUCCGAACAUAUAAUUUUUCCCCUGUAAUAUAGCAAAGAUCAAGAAAAAGCCAAAAAAAGUAUAUUUAGGUCAAAAUUUGGAGUAGAAAAAAAAACAAUAGAAGAAUUCCAUUUUCCUUCCUCAGUCAUCGGAGAGCUCUCUUUCGGCUUUCCGAAAAGGUAUCAAAUGCCAAGUUUGGCCUCACGGUCUAAAAGUUAUAGAGUCAUACAUUUUUAACAAUACAAAGUAGAGAAAACCGGAAAAAAGAGGGAUGCAACAUGAGGACUUUCCGGGAGGUAAUCCAUCCUAGUACAACUCUUGCCCAAGCACCCUUAACUGCGGAGUUCUGAUGGAAUCCGGUGCAUUAGUGCUGGUAUGAUCGCAUCUGUUACUACAUGCAAUGUAAUCGUAUCUAUUUUUUUUUAAAGACUUUAUGAUCCAUUUGCCGUGGGUCCCACCAGCUAUGUAGGAAUACCCUAUCUUCUUUAUAAGAGCUUUGAUACAUGCAAAAUAUAUGAAAAAACGUUCGAACAUAUAAUUUUUCCCCCCGUAAUAUAGCAAAGAUCACGAAAAGGCCCGAAAAAGUACAUUUAGUUCAAAAUUUGGAGUAGAAAAACCCAAUAGAAGAAUUCCAUUUUCCUUCGUCAUUCAUCGGAGAGCUCUCUUUGGGCUUUCCGAAAAGGUAUCACAUGCCAAGUUUGGCCUCACGGUCUAAAAGUUAUAGAGUCAUACAUUUUUAACAAAACAAAAUUGAGAAAAACCGAAAAAAGAGGGAUGCAACACGAGGACUCUCCAGAAGGUAACCCAUCUUAGUACUACUUUCGCCCAAGCACCCUUAACUGCGGAGUUCUGAUAGGACCCGGUGCAUUAGUGCUGGUAUGAUCGCAUGUGUUACUACAUGCAAUGUAAUCGUAUAUAUUCAUUUUUAAAGACUUUAUGAUCCAUUUGCCGUGGGUCCUACCAGCUAUGUAGAAAUACCCUAUCUUCUUUAUAAGAGCUUUCAUUCACGCAAAAUAAUGGAAAACAAUGUCCGAAGAUAUAAUUCCCCCCCCCCCCCCCCCGUAAUAUAGCAAAGAUCACGAAAAGGCCCGAAAAAGUACAUUAAGUUCAAAAUUUGGAGUAGAAAAAAAAACAAUAGAAGAAUUCCAUUUUCCUUCCUCAGUCAUCGGAGAGCUCUCUUUGGGCUUUCCGAAAAGGUAUCACAUGCCAAGUUUGGCCUCACGGUCUAAAGGUUAUAGAGUCAUACAUUUUUAACAAAAAAAAAUAGAAAAACAGAAAAAAGAGGGAUGCAAUACGAGGACUUUCCAGGAGGUCACCCAUCCUAGUACAACUCUCGCCGAAGCACGCUUAACUACGGUGUUCAGAUGGAAUCUGGUGCAUUAGUGCUGGUAUGAUGUCAUUUGUUACUACAUGCAAUGCAAUCAUAUCUAUUCUUAUUUAAAGACUUUAUGAUCCAUUUGCCGUGGGUCCCACCUGUAGGAAUACCCUAUCUUGUUUAUAAAAGAUUUGAUACAUGCAAAAUACUCGAAAACAAUGUCCGAACAUAUAAUUUUCACCCCGUAAUAUAGCAAAGAUCACGAAAAGGCCCGAAAAAGUACAUUAAAGUCAAAAUUUGGAGUAGAAAAAAACCCAAUAGAAGUAUUCCAUUCUCCUUCGUCAUUCAUCGGAGAGCUCUCUUUAGGCUUUCCGAAAAGAUAUCACAUGCCAAGUUUGGCCUCACGGUUUAAAAGUUAUAGAGUCAUAGAUUUUUAACAAAACAAAAAGAGAAAAACCGAAAAAAAAUUGGGAUGCAACACGAGGACUUUCCUGGAGGUCACCCAUCCUAGUACUACUCUUGCCCAAGCACCCUUAACUGCGUAGUUCUGAUGGGAUCCGAUGCUUUAGGGCUGGUAUGAUCGCAUCUGUUACUACAUGCAAUGUAAUCGUAUCUAUUCUUUUUUAAAGACUUUAUGAUCCAUUUGCCGUGGGUCCCACCAGCUAUGUAGGAAUACCCUAUCUUCUUUAUAAGAGCUUUGAUAAAUGCAAAAUAUUGGAAAGCAAUGUCCGAACAUAUAAUUUCGCCCCCGUAAUAUAGCAAAGAUCACGAAAAAGCCCAAAAAAGUUCAUUUAGGUCAAAAUUUGAGCAGAAGAAAAAGAAAUAGAAGAAUUCCAUUUUCCUUCCUCAUUUAUUGGAGAGCUCUCUUUGGGCUUUCCGAAAAGGUAUCACAUGCCAAGUUUGGCCUCACGGUCUAAAAGUUAUAGAGUCAUACAGUUUUAACAAAAUGAAAUAGAGAAAAACCGAAAAAAAGAGGGAUGUAACACGAGGACUUUCCGGGAGGUAAUCUAUCCUACUACUACUCUCGGCCAAGCACCCUUAACUGCGGAGUUCUAAUGGGAUCCGGUGCAUUAGUGCUAGUAUGAUCGCAUGUGUUACUACAUGCAAUGUAAUCGUAUCUAUUCUUUUUUAAAGACUUUAUGAUCCAUUUGCCGUGGGUCCCACCAGCUAUGUAGGAAUACCCUAUCUUCUUUAUAAGAGCUUUGAUACAUGCAAAAUAUAUGAAAAAAACGUCCGAACAUAUAAUUUUCCCCCCGUAAUAUAGCAAAGAUCAUGAAAAGGCCCAAAAAAGUACAUUAAUGUCAAAAUUUGGCGUAGAAAAAAAACCAAUAGACAUAUUCCAUUGUCCUUCAUCAUUCAUUGAAGAGCUCUCUUUGGGCUUUCCGAAAAGGUAUCACAUGCCAAGUUUGGCCUCACGGUCUAAAAGUUAUAGAGUCAUACAUUUUUAACAAUACAAAAUAGAGAAAAACCGAAAAAAAGAGGGAUGCAACACGAGGACUUUCCGGGAGGUAAUCCAUCCUAGUACUACUCUCGCCCAAGCACCCUUAACUGCGGAGUUCUGAUGGGACCCGGUGCAUUAGUGCUGGUAUGAUCGCAUCUGUUACUAUAUGCAAUGUAAUCGUAUCUAUUCUUUUUUAAAGACUUUAUGAUCCAUUUGCCGUGGGUCCCACCAGCUAUGUAGGAAUACCCUAUCUUCUUUAUAAGAGCUUUGAUAUAUGCAAAAUAUUGGAACACCAUGUCCGAACAUAUAAUUUUUCCCGUGUAAUAUAGCAAAGAUCAAGAAAAAGACAAAAGAGUACAUUUAGGUCAAAAUUUGAGUAGAAAAAAACAAAUAGAAGAAUUCCAUUUUCCUUCCUCAUUCAGCUGAGAGCUCUCUUUGGGCUUUCCGAAAAGGUAUCAUAUGCCAAGUUUGGCCUCACAGUGUAAAAGUUAUAGAGUCUAACAUUUUUAACAAAACAAAAUAGAGAAAAACCAAAAAAAGAGGGAUGCAACACGAGGACUUUCUGGGAGGUCACCCAUCCUAGUACUACUCUCGCCCAAGCACCCUUAACUGCGGAGUUCUGAUGGGAUCCGGUGCAUUAGUGCAGGUAUGAUCGCAUGUGUUACUACAUGCAAUGUAAUCCUAUCUAUUCUUUCUUAAAGACUUUAUGAUCCAUUUGCCGUGAGUCCCACCAGCUAUGUAGGAAUACCCUAUCUUCUUUAUAAGAGCUUUGAUACAUGCAAAAUAUUGGAAAACAAUAUCCGAACAUAUAGUUUUCCCCCCGUAAUAUAGCAAAGAUCACGAAAAGGCCCGAAAAAGUACAUUUAGUUCAAAAUUGGGAGUAGAAAAAAAAACAAUAGAAGAAUUCCAUUUUACUUCCUCAGUCAUCGGAGAGCUCUCUUUGGGCUUUCCGAAAAGGUAUCACAUGCCCAGUUUGGCCUCACGGUCUAAAAGUUAUAAAGUCAUACAUUUUUAACAAAAACAAAAGAGAAAAACCGAAAAAAAAGAGGGAUGCAAUACGAGGACUUUCCACGAGGUCACCCAUCCUAGUACAACUCUCGCCGAAGCAUGCUUAACUGCGGAGUUUAGAUGGGAUCUGGUGCAUUAGUGCUGGUAUGAUCGCAUCUGUUACUACAUGCAAUGCAAUCGUAUCUAUUCUUAUUUAAAGACUUUAUCAUCCAUUUGCCAUGGGUCCCACCUGUAGGAAUACCCAAUCUUGUUUAUAAGAGCUUUGAUACAUGCAAAAUAUUCGAAAACAACGUCCGAACAUAUAAUUUUCGCCCCGUAAUAUAGCAAAGAUCACGAAAAGGCCCGAAAAAGUACAUUAAGGUCAAAAUUUGGAAUAGAAAAAAAAACCAAUAGAAGUAUUCCAUUGUCCUUUGUCAUUCAUCGAAGAGCUCUCUUUGGGCUUUCCGAAAAGGUAUCGCAAGCCAAGUUUGGCCUCACGGUUUAAAAGUUAUAAAGUCAUACAUUUUUAACAAAAAAAAAAAGAGAAAAAACCGAAAAAAAGAGGGAUGCAACACGAGGACUUUUCUGGAGGUCACCCAUCCUAAUACUUCUCUCGCCCGAUCACCCUUAACUACGUAGUUUUGAUGGGAUUCGAUGCAUUAGUGCUGGUAUGAUCGCAUCUGUUACUACAUGCAAUGUAAUCGUAUCUAUUCUUUUUUAAAGACUUUAUGAUCCAUUUGCCGUGGGUCCCACCAGCUAUGUAGGAAUACCCUAUCUUCUUUAUAAGAGCUUUGAUAUAUGCAAAAUAUUGGAAAACCAUGUCCGAACAUAUAAUUUUUCCCCUGUAAUAUAGCAAAGAUCAAGAAAAAGCCAAAAAAGUAUAUUUAGGUCAAAAUUUGGAGUAGAAAAAAAAACAAUAGAAGAAUUCCAUUUUCCUUCCUCAGUCAUCGGAGAGCUCUCUUUGGGCUUUCCGAAAAGGUAUCAAAUGCCAAGUUUGGCCUCACGGUCUAAAAGUUAUAGAGUCAUACAUUUUUAACAAUACAAAGUAGAGAAAACCGGAAAAAAGAGGGAUGCAACAUGAGGACUUUCCGGGAGGUAAUCCAUCCUAGUACAACUCUUGCCCAAGCACCCUUAACUGCGGAGUUCUGAUGGAAUCCGGUGCAUUAGUGCUGGUAUGAUCGCAUGUGUUACUACAUGCAAUGUAAUCGUAUCUAUUCUUUUUUAAAGACUUUAUGAUCCAUUUGCCGUGGGUCCCACCAGCUAUGUAGGAAUACCCUAUCUUCUUUAUAAGAGCUUUGAUACAUGCAAAAUAUAUGAAAAAACGUUCGAACAUAUAAUUUUUCCCCCCGUAAUAUAGCAAAGAUCACGAAAAGGCCCGAAAAAGUACAUUUAGUUCAAAAUUUGGAGUAGAAAAACCCAAUAGAAGAAUUCCAUUUUCCUUCGUCAUUCAUCGGAGAGCUCUCUUUGGGCUUUCCGAAAAGGUAUCACAUGCCAAGUUUGGCCUCACGGUCUAAACGUUAUAGAGUCAUACAUUUUUAACAAAACAAAAUUGAGAAAAACCGAAAAAAAGAGGGAUGCAACACGAGGACUCUCCAGAAGGUAACCCAUCUUAGUACUACUUUCGCCCAAGCACCCUUAACUGCGGAGUUCUGAUAGGACCCGGUGCAUUAGUGCUGGUAUGAUCGCAUGUGUUACUACAUGCAAUGUAAUCGUAUAUAUUCAUUUUUAAAGACUUUAUGAUCCAUUUGCCGUGGGUCCUACCAGCUAUGUAGAAAUACCCUAUCUUCUUUAUAAGAGCUUUCAUUCACGCAAAAUAAUGGAAAACAAUGUCCGAAGAUAUAAUUUCCCCCCCCCCCCGUAAUAUAGCAAAGAUCACGAAAAGGCCCGAAAAAGUACAUUAAGUUCAAAAUUUGGAGUAGAAAAAAAAACAAUAGAAGAAUUCCAUUUUCCUUCCUCAGUCAUCGGAGAGCUCUCUUUGGGCUUUCCGAAAAGGUAUCACAUGCCAAGCUUGGCCUCACGGUCUAAAGGUUAUAGAGUCAUACAUUUUUAACAAAAAAAAAAUAGAAAAACAGAAAAAAGAGGGAUGCAAUACGAGGACUUUCCAGGAGGUCACCCAUCCUAGUACAACUCUCGCCGAAGCACGCUUAACUACGGUGUUCAGAUGGAAUCUGGUGCAUUAGUGCUGGUAUGAUGUCAUUUGUUACUACAUGCAAUGCAAUCAUAUCUAUUCUUAUUUAAAGACUUUAUGAUCCAUUUGCCGUGGGUCCCACCUGUAGGAAUACCCUAUCUUGUUUAUAAAAGAUUUGAUACAUGCAAAAUACUCGAAAACAAUGUCCGAACAUAUAAUUUUCACCCCGUAAUAUAGCAAAGAUCACGAAAAGGCCCGAAAAAGUACAUUAAAGUCAAAAUUUGGAGUAGAAAAAAACCCAAUAGAAGUAUUCCAUUCUCCUUCGUCAUUCAUCGGAGAGCUCUCUUUAGGCUUUCCGAAAAGAUAUCACAUGCCAAGUUUGGCCUCACGGUUUAAAAGUUAUAGAGUCAUAGAUUUUUAACAAAACAAAAAGAGAAAAACCGAAAAAAAUUGGGAUGCAACACGAGGACUUUCCUGGAGGUCACCCAUCCUAGUACUACUCUCGCCCAAGCACCCUUAACUGCGUAGUUCUGAUGGGAUCCGAUGCUUUAGUGCUGGUAUGAUCGCAUCUGUUACUACAUGCAAUGUAAUCGUAUCUAUUCUUUUUUAAAGACUUUAUGAUCCAUUUGCCGUGGGUCCCACCAGCUAUGUAGGAAUACCCUAUCUUCUUUAUAAGAGCUUUGAUAAAUGCAAAAUAUUGGAAACCAAUGUCCGAACAUAUAAUUUCGCCCCCGUAAUAUAGCAAAGAUCACGAAAAAGCCCAAAAAAGUUCAUUUAGGUCAAAAUUUGAGCAGAAGAAAAAGAAAUAGAAGAAUUCCAUUUUCCUUCCUCAUUUAUUGGAGAGCUCUCUUUGGGCUUUCCGAAAAGGUAUCACAUGCCAAGUUUGGCCUCACGGUCUAAAAGUUAUAGAGUCAUACAUUUUUAACAAAAUGAAAUAGAGAAAAACCGAAAAAAAGAGGGAUGUAACACGAGGACUUUCCGGGAGGUAAUCUAUCCUACUACUACUCUCGGCCAAGCACCCUUAACUGCGGAGUUCUAAUGGGAUCCGGUGCAUUAGUGCUGGUAUGAUCGCAUGUGUUACUACAUGCAAUGUAAUCGUAUCUAUUCUUUUUUAAAGACUUUAUGAUCCAUUUGCCGUGGGUCCCACCAGCUAUGUAGGAAUACCCUAUUUUCUUUAUAAGAGCUUUGAUACAUGCAAAAUAUUGGAAAACAAUGUCCGAACAUAUUAUUUUCCCCCCGUAAUAUAGCAAAGAUCACGAAAAGGCCCGAAAAAGUACAUUUAGUUCAAAAUGUGGAGUAGAAAAAAAAACAAUAGAAGAAUUCCAUUUUCCUUCGUCAUUCAUCGGAGAGCUCUCUUUAGGCUUUCCGAAAAGGUAUCACAUGCCAAGUUUGGCCUCACGGUCUAAAAGUUAUAGAAUCAUACAUUUUUAACAAAACAAAAUAGAGAAAAACCGAAAAAGAGGGAUUUAACACGAGGACUUUCCGAGAGGUAACCCAUCCUAGUACUACUCUCGUCCAAGCACCCUUAACUGCGGAGUUCUGAUGGGAUCCGGUGUAUUAGUGCUGGUAUGAUCGCAUGUGUUACUACAUGCAAUGUAAUCGUAUCUAUUCUUUUUUAAAGACUUUAUAAUCCAUUUGCCGUGGGUCCCACCAGCUAUGUAGGAAUACCCUAUUUUCUUUAUAAGAGCUUUGAUACAUGCAAAAUAUUAGAAAACAAUGUCCGAACAUAUUAUUUUCCCCCCGUUAUAUAGCAAAGAUCACGAAAAGGCCCGAAAAAGUACAUUUAGUUCAAAAUUUGGAGUAGAAAAAAAAACAAUAGAAGAAUUCCAUUUUCCUUCGUCAUUCAUCGGAGAGCUCUCUUUAGGCUUUCCGAAAAGGUAUCACAUGCCAAGUUUGGCCUCACGGUCUAAAAGUUAUAGAGUCAUACAUUUUUAACAAAACAAAAUAGAGAAAAACCGAAAAAAGAGGGAUUUAACACGAGGACUUUCUGAGAGGUAACCCAUCCGAGUACUACACUCGCCCAAGCACCCUUAACUACGGAGUUCUGAUGGGAUACGGUGCAUUAGUGCUGGUUUGAUCGCAUCUGUUACUACAUGCAAUGUAAUCGUAUCUAUUCUUUUUUAAAGACUUUAUGAUCCAUUUGCCGUGGGUGCCACCAACUAUGUAGGAUUAUCCUAUAUUCUUUAUAAGAGCUUUGAUACAUGAAAAAUAUUCGAAAACAAUGUCCGAACAUAUAAUUUCCACCCGUAAUAUAGCAAAGAUCACGAAAAGGCCCAAAAAAGUACAUUAAGUUUAAAAUUUGGAGUAGAAAAAAAACCAAUAGAAGAAUUCCAUUUUCCUUCCUCAGUCAUCGGAGAGCUCUCUUUGGGCUUUCCGAAAAGGUAUCACAUGCCAAGUUUGACCUCACGGUCUAAAGGUUAUAGAGUCAUACAUUUUUAACAAAAAAAAAUAGAAAAACAGGAAAAAAGAGGGAUGCAAUACGAGGACUUUCCAGGAGGUCACCCAUCCUAGUACAACUCUCGCCGAAGCACGCUUAACUGCGGUGUUCAGAUGGGAUCUGGUGCAUUAGUGCUCGUAUGAUGGCAUUUGUUACUACAUGCAAUGCAAUCGUAUCUACUCUUAUUUAAAGACUUUAUGAUCCAUUUGCCGUGGGUGCCACCAACUAUGUAGGAUUAUCCUAUAUUCUUUAUAAGAGCUUUGAUACAUGCAAAAUAUUCGAAAGCAAUGUCCGAACAUAUAAUUUCCCCCCCGUAAUAUAGCAAAGAUCACGAAAAGGCCCGAAAAAGUACAUUUAGUUCAAAAUUUGGAGUAGAAAAAAAAACAAUAGAAGAAUUCCAUUUUCCUUCGUCAUUCAUCGGAGAGCUCUCUUUAGGCUUUCCGAAAAGGUAUCACAUGCCAAGUUUGGCCUCACGGUCUAAAAGUUAUAGAGUCAUACAUUUUCAACAAAACAAAAUAGAGAAACACCGAAAAAAGAGGGAUUUAACACGAGGACUUUCCGAGAGGUAACCCAUCCUAGUACUACUCUCGUCCAAGCACCCUUAACUGCGGAGUUCUGAUGGGAUCCGGUGCAUUAGUGCUGGUAUGAUCGCAUGUGUUACUACAUGCAAUGUAAUCAUAUCUAUUCUUUUUUUAAAGACUUUAUGAUUCAUUUGCCGUGGGUCCCACCAGCUAUGUAGGAAUACCCUAUUUUCUUUAUAACAGCUUUGAUACAUGCAAAAUAUUGGAAAACAAUGUCCGAACAUAUUAUUUUCCUCCCGUAAUAUAGCAAAGAUCACGAAAAGGCCCGAAAAAGUACAUUUAGUUCAAAAUUUGGAGUAGAAAAAAAAACAAUAGAAGAAUUCCAUUUUCCUUCGUCAUUCAUCGGAGAGCUCUCUUUAGGCUUUCCGAAAAGGUAUCACAUGCCAAGUUUGGCCUCACGGUCUAAAAGUAUAGAGUCAUACAUUUUUAAAAAAACAAAAUAGAGAAAAACCGAAAAAAGAGGGAUUUAACACGAGGACUUUCCGAGAGGUAACCCAUCCUAGUACUACUCUCGUCCAAGCACCCUUAACUGCGGAGUUCUAAUGGGAUCUGGUGCAUUAGUGCUGGUAUGAUCGCAUGUGUUACUACAUGCAAUGUAAUCGUAUCUAUUCUUUUUUAAAGACUUUAUGAUCCAUUUGCCGUGGGUCCCACCAGCUAUGUAGGAAUACCCUAUUUUCUUUAUAAGAGCUUUGAUACAUGCAAAAUAUUGGAAAACAAUGUCCGAACAUAUUAUUUUCCCCCCGUUAUAUAGCAAAGAUCACGAAAAGGCCCGAAAAAGUACAUUUAGUUCAAAAUUUGGAGUAGAAAGAAAAACAAUAGAAGAAUUCCAUUUUCCUUCGUCAUUCAUCUGAGAGCUCUCUUUAGGCUUUCCGAAAAGGUAUCACAUGCCAAGUUUGGCCUCACGGUCUAAAAGUUAUAGAGUCAUACAUUUUUAACAAAACAAAAUAGAGAAAAACCGAAAAAGAGGGAUUUAAGACGAGGACUUUCUGAGAGGUAACCCAUCCGAGUACUACACUCGCCCAAGCACCCUUAACUACGGAGUUCUGAUGGGAUACGGUGCAUUAGUGCUGGUUUGAUCGCAUGUGUUACUACAUGCAAUGUAAUCGUAUCUAUUCUUUUUUAAAGACUUUAUGAUCCAUUUGCCGUGGGUGCCACCAACUAUGUAGGAUUAUCCUAUAUUCUUUAUAAGAUCUUUGAUACUUGCAAAAUAUUCGAAAAAAAUGUCCGAACAUAUAAUUUCCCCCCCGUAAUAUAGCAAAGAUCACGAAAAGGCCCAAAAAAGUACAUUAAGUUUAAAAUUUGGAGUAGAAAAAAAACCAAUAGAAGAAUUCCAUUUUCCUUCCUCAGUCAUCGGAGAGCUCUCUUUGGGCUUUCCGAAAAGUUAUCACAUGCCAAGUUUGACCUCACGGUCUAAAGGUUAUAGAGUCAUACAUUUUUAACAAAAAAAAAUAGAAAAACAGGAAAAAAGAGGGAUGCAAUACGAGGACUUUCCAGCAGGUCACCCAUCCUAGUACAACUCUCGCCAAAGCACGCUUAACUGCGGUGUUCAGAUGGGAUCUGGUGCAUUAGUGCUUGUAUGAUGGCAUUUGUUACUACAUGCAAUGCAAUCGUAUCGAUUCUUAUUUAAAGACUUUAUGAUCCAUUUGUCGUGGGUGCCACCUGUAGGAAUACCCUAUCUUGUUUAUAAGAGAUUUGAUACAUGCAAAAUAUUCGAAAACAAUGUCCGAACAUAUAAUUUUUGCCCCGUAAUAUAGAAAAGAUCACAAAAAAGUCCAAAAAAGUACAUUUAGGUCAAAAUUUGAGCAGAAAAAAAAGAAAUAGAAGAAUUCCAUUUUCCUUCGUCAUUCAUCGGAGAGCUCUCUUUAGGCUUUCCGAAAAGAUAUCACAUGCCAAGUUUGGCCUCACGGUCUAAAAGUUAUAGAGUCAUACAUUUUUCACAAAACAAAAAGAGAAAAACCGAAAAAAAUAGGGAUGCAACACGAGGACUUUCCUGGAGGUCACCCAUCCUAGUACUAAUCUCGCCCAAGCACCCUUAACUGCGUAGUUCUGAUGGGAUCCGAUGCAUUAGUCCUGGUAUGAUCGCAUCUGUUACUAUAUGCAAUAUAAUCGUAUCUAUUCUUUUUUAAAGACUUUAUGAUCCAUUUGCCGUGGGUCCCACCAGCUAUGUAGGAUACCCUAUCUUCAUAAUAAGAGCUUUGAUAAAUGCAAAAUAUUGGAAAACAAUGUCCGAACAUAUAAUUUCCCCCCCCCCCCCCGUAAUAUAGCAAAGAUCACGAAAAAGCCCAAAAAAGUACAUUUAGGUCAAAAUUUGAGUAGAAAAAAAAACAAAUAGAGGAAUUCCAUUUUCCGUCCUCAUUCAUCGGAGAGCUCUCUUUCGGCUUUCCGAAAAGGUAUCACAUGCCAAGUUUGGCCUCACGGUCUAAAAGUUAUAGAGUCAUACAUUUUUAACAAAACAAAAUAGAGAAAAACCGAAAAAAAGAAGGAUGCAACACGAGGACUUCCCGGGAGGUCACCCAUCCUAGUACUACUCUCGCCUAAGCACCCUUAACUGCGGAGUUCUGAUGGGAUCAGGUGCAUUAGUGCUGGUAUGAUCGCAUGUGGUACUACAUGCAAUGUAAUCGUAUCUAUUCCUUUUGAAAGACUUUAUGAUCCAUUUGCCGUGGGUCCCACCAGCUAUGUAGGAAUACCCUAUCUUCUUUAUAAGAGCUUUGAUACAUGCAAAAUAUUUGAAAACAAUGUCCGAACAUAUAAUUUUCCCCCCGUUAUAUAGCAAAGAUCACGAAAAGGCCCAAAAAAGUACAAUUAGUUCAAAAUUUGGAGUAGAAAAAAAAACAAUAGAAGAAUUCCAUUUUCCUUCCUCAGUCAUCGGAGAGCUCUCUUUGGGCUUUCCAAAAAGGUAUCACAUGCCAAGUUUGGCCUCACAGUCUAAAAGUUAUAGAGUCAUACAUUUUUAACAAAACAAAAUAGAGAAAAACCGAAAAAAAGAGGGAUGCAACACGAGGACUUUCCGGGAGGUAACCCAUCCUAGUACUACUCUCGCCCAAGCACCCUUAACUGCGGAGUUUUGAUGGGAUCCGGUGCAUUAGUGUUGGUAUGAUCGCAUGUGUUACUACAUGCAAUGUAAUCGUAUCUAUUCCUUUUGAAAGACUUUAUGAUCCAUUUGCCGUGGGUCCCACCAGCUAUGUAGGAAUACCCUAUCUUCUUUAUAAGAGCUUUGAUACAUACAAAAUAUUGGAUCACAAUGUCAUAACAUAUAAUUUUCCCCCCUUAAUAUAGCAAAGAUCACGAAAAGGCCCGAAAAAAUACAUUUAGUUCAAAAUUUGGAGUAGAAAAAAAAAAUAUAAGAAUUCCAUUUUCCUUCCUCUGUUAUCGGAGAGCUCUCUUUGGGCUUUCCGAAAAGGUAUCACAUGCCAAGUUUGGCCUCACGGUCUAAAAGAUAUAAAGUCAUACAUUAUUAACAAAACAAAAUAGAGAAAAACCGAAAAAAAGAAGGAUGCAACACGAGGACUUUCCGGGAGGUAAUCUAUCCUAGUACUACUCUCGCCCAAGCACCCUUAACUGCGGAGUUCUGAUGGGAUCCGGUGCAUUAGUGUUGGUAUGAUCGCAUGUGUUACUACAUGCAAUGUAACCGUAUCUAUUCUUUUUUAAAGACUUUAUGAUCCAUUUGCCGUGGGUCCCACCAGCUAUGUAGGAAUAUUCUAUCUUCUUUAUAAGAGCUUUGAUACAUGCAAAAUAUUGGAAAACAACGUCCGAACAUAUAAUUUCCCCCCCCCCCCGUAAUAUAGCAAAAAUCACGAAAAGGCCCGAAAAAGUACAUUUAGUUCAAAAUUUGCAGUAGAAAAAAAAACAAUAGAAGAAUUUCAUUUUCCUUCCUCAGUCAUCGGAGAGCUCUCUUUGGGCUUUCCAAAAAGGUAUCACAUGCCAAGUUUGGCCUCACAGUCUAAAAGUUAUAGAGUCAUACAUUUUUAACAAAACAAAAUAGAGAAAAACCGAAAAAAGAGGGAUGCAACACGAGGACUUUCCCGGAGGUAAUCUAUCCUAGUACUACUCUCGCCCAAGCACCCUUAACUGCGGAGUUCUGAUGGGAUCCGGUGCAGUAGUGCUGGUAUGAUCGCAUGUGUUACUACAUGCAAUGUAAUCGUAUCUAUUCUUUUUUAAAGACUUUAUGAUCCAUUUGCCGUGAGUCCCACCAGCUAUGUAGGAAUAUUCUAUCUUCUUUAUAAGAGCUUUGAUACAUGCAAAAUACUGGAAAACAAUGUCCGAACAUAUAAUUUUCCCCACGUAAUAUAGCAAAGAUCACGAAAAGGCCCGAAAAAGUACAUUUAGUUCAAAAUUUGGAGUAGAAAAAAAAACAAUAGAAGAAUUUCAUUUUCCUUCCCUAGUCAUCGGAGAGCUCUCUUUGGGCUUUCCAAAAAGGUAUCACAUGCCAAGUUUGGCCUCACAGUCUAAAAGUUAUAGAGUCAUACAUUUUUAACAAAACAAAAUAGAGAAAAACCGAAAAAAAAGAGGGAUGCAACACGAGGACUUUCUGGGAGGUAAUCUAUCCUAGUACUACUCUCGCCCAAGCACCCUUAACUGCGGAGUUCUGAUGGGAUCCGGUGCAGUAGUGCUGGUAUGAUCGCAUGUGUUACUACAUGCAAUGUAAUCGUAUCUAUUCUUUUUUAAAGACUUUAUGAUCCAUUUGCCGUGAGUCCCACCAGCUAUGUAGGAAUAUUCUAUCUUCUUUAUAAGAGCUUUGAUACAUGCAAAAUACUGGAAAACAAUGUCCGAACAUAUAAUUUUCCCCCCGUAAUAUAGCAAAGAUCACGAAAAGGCCCAGAAAAGUACAUUUAGUUCAAAAUUUGGAGUAGAAAAAAAAACAAUAGAAGAAUUCCAUUUUCCUUCCUCAAUCAUCGGAGAGCUCUCUUUGGGCUUUCCGAAAAGGUAUCUCAUGCCAAGUUUGGCCUCACGAACUAAAAGUUAUAGAGUCAUACAUUUUUAACAAAACAAAAUAGAGAAAAACCGAAAAAAGAGGGAUGCAACACAAGGACUUUCCGGGAGGUCACCCAUCCUAGUACUACUCUCGCCCAAGCACCCUUAACUGCGGAGUUCUGAUGGGAUCCAGUGCAUUAGUGCUGGUAUGAUCGCAUGUGUUACUACAUGCAAUGUAAUCGUAUCUAUUCUUUUUUAAAGAUUUUAUGAUCCAUUUGCCGUGGGUCCCACCAGCUAUGUAGGAAUACCCUAUCUUCUUUAUAAGAGCUUUGAUACAUACAAAAUAUUGGAUCACAAUGUCAGAACAUAUAAUUUUCCCCCCUUAAUAUAGCAAAGUUCACUAAAAGGCCCGAAAAAAUACAUUUAGUUCAAAAUUUGGAGUAGAAAAAAAAACAAUAGAAGAAUUUCAUUUUCCUUCCUCAGUCAUCGGAGAGCUCUCUUUGGGCUUUCCAAAAAGGUAUCACAUGCCAAGUUUGGCCUCACAGUCUAAAAGUUAUAGAGUCAUACAUUUUUAACAAAACAAAAUAGAGAAAAACCGAAAAAAGAGGGAUGCAACACGAGGACUUUCCCGGAGGUAAUCUAUCCUAGUACUACUCUCGCCCAAGCACCCUUAACUGCGGAGUUCUGAUGGGAUCCGGUGCAGUAGUGCUGGUAUGAUCGCAUGUGUUACUACAUGCAAUGUAAUCGUAUCUAUUCUUUUUUAAAGACUUUAUGAUCCAUUUGCCGUGAGUCCCACCAGCUAUGUAGGAAUAUUCUAUCUUCUUUAUAAGAGCUUUGAUACAUGCAAAAUACUGGAAAACAAUGUCCGAACAUAUAAUUUUCCCCACGUAAUAUAGCAAAGAUCACGAAAAGGCCCGAAAAAGUACAUUUAGUUCAAAAUUUGGAGUAGAAAAAAAAACAAUAGAAGAAUUUCAUUUUCCUUCCUCAGUCAUCGGAGAGCUCUCUUUGGGCUUUCCAAAAAGGUAUCACAUGCCAAGUUUGGCCUCACAGUCUAAAAGUUAUAGAGUCAUACAUUUUUAACAAAACAAAAUAGAGAAAAACCGAAAAAAAAGAGGGAUGCAACACGAGGACUUUCUGGGAGGUAAUCUAUCCUAGUACUACUCUCGCCCAAGCACCCUUAACUGCGGAGUUCUGAUGGGAUCCGGUGCAGUAGUGCUGGUAUGAUCGCAUGUGUUACUACAUGCAAUGUAAUCGUAUCUAUUCUUUUUUAAAGACUUUAUGAUCCAUUUGCCGUGAGUCCCACCAGCUAUGUAGGAAUAUUCUAUCUUCUUUAUAAGAUCUUUGAUACAUGCAAAAUACUGGAAAACAAUGUCCGAACAUAUAAUUUUCCCCCCGUAAUAUAGCAAAGAUCACGAAAAGGCCCAGAAAAGUACAUUUAGUUCAAAAUUUGGAGUAGAAAAAAAAACAAUAGAAGAAUUCCAUUUUCCUUCCUCAAUCAUCGGAGAGCUCUCUUUGGGCUUUCCGAAAAGGUAUCUCAUGCCAAGUUUGGCCUCACGAACUAAAAGUUAUAGAGUCAUACAUUUUUAACAAAACAAAAUAGAGAAAAACCGAAAAAAGAGGGAUGCAACACAAGGACUUUCCGGGAGGUCACCCAUCCUAGUACUACUCUCGCCCAAGCACCCUUAACUGCGGAGUUCUGAUGGGAUCCAGUGCAUUAGUGCUGGUAUGAUCGCAUGUGUUACUACAUGCAAUGUAAUCGUAUCUAUUCUUUUUUAAAGAUUUUAUGAUCCAUUUGCCGUGGGUCCCACCAGCUAUGUAGGAAUACCCUAUCUUCUUUAUAAGAGCUUUGAUACAUACAAAAUAUUGGAUCACAAUGUCAGAACAUAUAAUUUUCCCCCCUUAAUAUAGCAAAGUUCACUAAAAGGCCCGAAAAAAUACAUUUAGUUCAAAAUUUGGAGUAGAAAAAAAAACAAUAGAAGAAUUUCAUUUUCCUUCCUCAGUCAUCGGAGAGCUCUCUUUGGGCUUUCCAAAAAGGUAUCACAUGCCAAGUUUGGCCUCACAGUCUAAAAGUUAUAGAGUCAUACAUUUUUAACAAAACAAAAUAGAGAAAAACCGAAAAAAAGAGGGAUGCAACACGAGGACUUUCUGGGAGGUAAUCUAUCCUAGUACUACUCUCGCCCAAGCACCCUUAACUGCGGAGUUCUGAUGGGAUCCGGUGCAGUAGUGCUGGUAUGAUCGCAUGUGUUACUACAUGCAAUGUAAUCGUAUCUAUUCUUUUUUAAAGACUUUAUGAUCCAUUUGCCGUGAGUCCCACCAGCUAUGUAGGAAUAUUCUAUCUUCUUUAUAAGAGCUUUGAUACAUGCAAAAUACUGGAAAACAAUGUCCGAACAUAUAAUUUUCCCCCCGUAAUAUAGCAAAGAUCACGAAAAGGCCCGAAAAAGUACAUUUAGUUCAAAAUUUGGAGUAGAAAAAAAAACAAUAGAAGAAUUCCAUUUUCCUUCCUCAAUCAUCGGAGAGCUCUCUUUGGGCUUUCCGAAAAGGUAUCUCAUGCCAAGUUUGGCCUCACGAACUAAAAGUUAUAGAGUCAUACAUUUUUAACAAAACAAAAUAGAGAAAAACCGAAAAAAGAGGGAUGCAACACAAGGACUUUCCGGGAGGUCACCCAUCCUAGUACUACUCUCGCCCAAGCACCCUUAACUGCGGAGUUCUGAUGGGAUCCAGUGCAUUAGUGCUGGUAUGAUCGCAUGUGUUACUACAUGCAAUGUAAUCGUAUCUAUUCUUUUUUAAAGAUUUUAUGAUCCAUUUGCCGUGGGUCCCACCAGCUAUGUAGGAAUACCCUAUCUUCUUUAUAAGAGCUUUGAUACAUACAAAAUAUUGGAUCACAAUGUCAGAACAUAUAAUUUUCCCCCCUUAAUAUAGCAAAGUUCACUAAAAGGCCCGAAAAAAUACAUUUAGUUCAAAAUUUGGAGUAGAAAAAAAAACAAUAGAAGAAUUUCAUUUUCCUUCCUCAGUCAUCGGAGAGCUCUCUUUGGGCUUUCCAAAAAGGUAUCACAUGCCAAGUUUGGCCUCACAGUCUAAAAGUUAUAGAGUCAUACAUUUUUAACAAAACAAAAUAGAGAAAAACCGAAAAAAAGAGGGAUGCAACACGAGGACUUUCUGGGAGGUAAUCUAUCCUAGUACUACUCUCGCCCAAGCACCCUUAACUGCGGAGUUCUGAUGGGAUCCGGUGCAGUAGUGCUGGUAUGAUCGCAUGUGUUACUACAUGCAAUGUAAUCGUAUCUAUUCUUUUUUAAAGACUUUAUGAUCCAUUUGCCGUGAGUCCCACCAGCUAUGUAGGAAUAUUCUAUCUUCUUUAUAAGAGCUUUGAUACAUGCAAAAUACUGGAAAACAAUGUCCGAACAUAUAAUUUUCCCCCCGUAAUAUAGCAAAGAUCACGAAAAGGCCCGAAAAAGUACAUUUAGUUCAAAAUUUGGAGUAGAAAAAAAAACAAUAGAAGAAUUCCAUUUUCCUUCCUCAAUCAUCGGAGAGCUCUCUUUGGGCUUUCCGAAAAGGUAUCUCAUGCCAAGUUUGGCCUCACGAACUAAAAGUUAUAGAGUCAUACAUUUUUAACAAAACAAAAUAGAGAAAAACCGAAAAAAGAGGGAUGCAACACAAGGACUUUCCGGGAGGUCACCCAUCCUAGUACUACUCUCGCCCAAGCACCCUUAACUGCGGAGUUCUGAUGGGAUCCGGUGCAUUAGUGCUGGUAUGAUCGCCCGUGUUACUACAUGCAAUGCAAUCGUAUCUAUUCUUUUUUAAAGAUUUUAUGAUCCAUUUGCCGUGGGUCCCACCAGCUAUGUAGGAAUACCCUAUCUUCUUUAUAAGAGGUUUGAUACAUACAAAAUAUUGGAUCACAAUGUCAGAACAUAUAAUUUUCCCCCCUUAAUAUAGCAAAGAUCACUAAAAGGCCCGAAAAAAUACAUUUAGUUCAAAAUUUGGAGUAGAAAAAAAAACAAUAGAAGAAUUCCAUUUUCCUUCCUCAGUUAUCGGAGAACUCUCUUUGGGCUUUCCGAAAAGGUAUCACAUGCCAAGUUUGGCCUCACGGUCUAAAAGAUAUAGAGUCAUACAUUAUUAACAAAACAAAAUAGAGAAAAACCGAAAAAAAGAAGGAUGCAACACGAGGACUUUGCGGGAGGUAAUCUAUCCUAGUACUACUCUCGCCCAAGCACCCUUAACUGCGGAGUUCUGAUGGGAUCCGGUGCAUUAGUGCUGGUAUGAUCGCAUGUGUUACUACAUGCAAUGUAAUCGUAUCUAUUCUUUUUUAAAGACUUUAUGAUCCAUUUGCCGUGGGUCCNNNNNNNNNNNNNNNNNNNNNNNNNNNNNNNNNNNNNNNNNNNNNNNNNNACAUGCCAAGUUUGGCCUUACGGUCUAAAAGUUAUAGAGUAAUACANUUUUUAACAAAAAAAAAAGAAAAAAACCGAAAACAAAGAGGGAUGCAACACGAAGACUUUCCUGGAGGUCACCCAUCCUAGUACUACUCUCGCCCAAGCACACUUAACUGCGGUGUUCUGAUAGGAUCAAGUGCAUUAGUGCUGGUAUGAUCGCAUCAGUUACUACAUGCAAUGCAAUCAUAUAUAUUCUUUUUUGAAGACUUUAUGAUCCAUUUGCCGUAGGUCCCACCAGCUAUGUAGGAAUACCCUAUCUCGUUUAUAAGAGCUUUGAUACAUGCAAAAUAUUCGAAAACAAUGUCCGAACAUAUAAUUUUUGUCCCGUAAUAUAGCAAAGAUCGCGAAAAGGCCAUAAAAAAUACAUUUCGGUCAAAAUUUGGAGUAGAAAAAAAACCCUUCCUCAUUCAUUGGACAGCUCUCUUUGGGCUUUCCGAAAAGGUAUCACAUGCCAAGUUUGGCCUCACGGUCUAAACCUUAUAGACUCAUACAUUUUUCACAAAAAAAAGAAGAGAAAAACCAAAAAAAAGAGUGAUUAAACACGAGGACUUUCCUGGAGGUCACCCAUCCUAGUACUACUCUCGCCCAAGCACGCUUAACUGCGAAGUUCUGAUGGGAUCUGGUGCAUUAGUGCUGGUAUGAUCGCAUCUGUUACUACAUGCAAUGCAAUCGUAUUUAUUCUUUUUUGAAGAUUUUAUGAUUCAUUUACCGUGGGUCCCACCAGCUAUGUAGGAAUAACCUAUCUUAUUUAUAAAAGCUUUGAUACAUGCAAAAUAUUAGAAAACAAUGUCCGAACAUAUAAUGUUCGCCCCAAAAUAUAGCAAAGACCACAAAAAUGCCAUAAAAAGUACAUUAAGGUCAAAAUUUGGAGUAGGAAAAAAAUCAAUAGGAGAAUUCCAUUUUCCUUCCUUCAUUCAUCGGAGAGCUCUCUUUGGGCAUUCCAAAAAGGUAUCACAUGCCAAGUUUGGCCUCACGGUCUAAAAGUUAUAGAGUAAUACAUUUUUAACAAAAAAAAAAGAAAAAAACCGAAAACAAAGAGGGAUGCAACACGAAGACUUUCCUGGAGGUCACCCAUCCUAGUACUACUCUCGCCCAAGCACACUUAACUGCGGUGUUCUGAUAGGAUCAAGUGCAUUAGUGCUGGUAUGAUCGCAUCAGUUACUACAUGCAAUGCAAUCAUAUAUAUUCUUUUUUGAAGACUUUAUGAUCCAUUUGCCGUAGGUCCCACCAGCUAUGUAGGAAUACCCUAUCUCGUUUAUAAGAGCUUUGAUACAUGCAAAAUAUUCGAAAACAAUGUCCGAACAUAUAAUUUUUGUCCCGUAAUAUAGCAAAGAUCACGAAAAGGCCAGAAAAAAUACAUUUCGGUCAAAAUUUGGAGUAGAAAAAAAACCCUUCCUCAUUCAUUGGACAGCUCUUUUUGGGCUUUCCGAAAAGGUAUCACAUGCCAAGUUUGGCCUCACGGUCUAAACCUUAUAGACUCAUACAUUUUUCACAAAAAAAAGAAGAGAAAAACCAAAAAAAAGAGUGAUUAAACACGAGGACUUUCCUGGAGGUCACCCAUCCUAGUACUACUCUCGCCCAAGCACGCUUAACUGCGAAGUUCUGAUGGGAUCUGGUGCAUUAGUGCUGGUAUGAUCGCAUCUGUUACUACAUGCAAUGCAAUCGUAUCUAUUCUUUUUUGAAGAUUUUAUGAUUCAUUUACCGUGGGUCCCACCAGCUAUGUAGGAAUAACCUAUCUUAUUUAUAAAAGCUUUGAUACAUGCAAAAUAUUCGAAAACAAUGUCCGAACAUAUAAUGUUCGCCCCAAAAUAUAGCAAAGACCACAAAAAUGCCAUAAAAAGUACAUUAAGGUCAAAAUUUGGAGUAGGAAAAAAAUCAAUAGGAGAAUUCCAUUUUCCUUCCCUCAUUCAUCGGAGAGCUCUCUUUGGGCAUUCCAAAAAGGUAUCACAUGCCAAGUUUGGCCUCACGGUCUAAAAGUUAUAGAGUAAUACAUUUUUAACAAAAACAAAAGAAAAAAACCGAAAACAAAGAGGGAUGCAACACGAAGACUUUCCUGGAGGUCACCCAUCCUAGUACUACUCUCGCCCAAGUACACUUAACUGCGGUGUUCUGAUAGGAUCAAGUGCAUUAGUGCUGGUAUGAUCGCAUCAGUUACUACAUGCAAUGCAAUCAUAUAUAUUCUUUUUUGAAGACUUUAUGAUCCAUUUGCCGUAGGUCCCACCAGCUAUGUAGGAAUACCCUAUCUUGUUUAUAAGAGCUUUCAUACAUGCAAAAUAUUCAAAAACAAUGUCCGAACAUAUAAUUUUUGUCCCGUAAUAUAGCAAAGAUCACGAAAAGGCCAGAAAAAAUACAUUUCGGUCAAAAUUUGGAGUAGAAAAAAAACCCUUCCUCAUUCAUUGGACAGCUCUCUUUGGGCUUUCUGAAAAGGUAUCACAUGCCAAGUUUGGCCUCACGGUCUAAACCUUAUAGACUCAUACAUUUUUCACAAAAAAAAGAAGAGAAAAACCAAAAAAAAGAGUGAUUAAACACGAGGACUUUCCUGGAGGUCACCCAUCCUAGUACUACUCUCGCCCAAGCACGCUUCACUGCGAAGUUCUGAUGGGAUCUGGUGCAUUAGUGCUGGUAUGAUCGCAUCUGUUACUACAUGCAAUGCAAUCGUAUCUAUUCUUUUUUGAAGAUUUUAUGAUUCAUUUACCGUGGGUCCCACCAGAUAGGAAUAACCUAUCUUAUUUAUAAAAGCUUUGAUACAUGCAAAAUAUUCGAAAACAAUGUCCGAACAUAUAAUGUUCGCCCCAAAAUAUAGCAAAGACCACAAAAAUGCAAUAAAAAGUACAUUAAGGUCAAAAUUUGGAGUAGGAAAAAAAUCAAUAGGAGAAUUCCAUUUUCCUUCCCUCAUUUAUCGGAGAGCUCUCUUUGGGCAUUCCAAAAAGGUAUCACAUGCCAAGUUUGGCCUCACGGUCUAAAAGUUAUAGAGUAAUACAUUUUUAACAAAACAAAAAAGAAAAAAACCGAAAACAAAGAGGGAUGCAACACGAAGACUUUCCUGGAGGUCACCCAUCCUAGUACUACUCUCGCCCAAGCACACUUAACUGCGGUGUUCUGAUAGGAUCAAGUGCAUUAGUGCUGGUAUGAUCGCAUCAGUUACUACAUGCAAUGCAAUCAUAUAUAUUCUUUUUUGAAGACUUUAUGAUCCAUUUGCCGUAGGUCCCACCAGCUAUGUAGGAAUACCCUAUCUUGUUUAUAAGAGCUUUGAUACAUGCAAAAUAUACGAAAACAAUGUCCGAACAUAUAAUUUUUGUCCCGUAAUAUAGCAAAAAGGCCAGAAAAAAUACAUUUCGGUCAAAAUUUGGAGUAGAAAAAAAACCCUUCCUCAUUCAUUGGACAGCUCUCUUUGGGCUUUCCGAAAAGGUAUCACAUGCCAAGUUUGGCCUCACGGUCUAAACCUUAUAGGCUCAUACAUUUUUCACAAAAAAAAGAAAAGAAAAACCAAAAAAAAGAGUGAUUAAACACGAGGACUUUCCGGGAGGUCACCCAUCCUAGUACUACUCUCGCCGAAGCACGCUUAACUGCGAAGUUCUGAUGGGAUCUGGUGCAUUAGUGCUGGUAUGAUCGCAUCUGUUACUACAUGCAAUGCAAUCGUAUCUAUUCUUUUUUGAAGAUUUUAUGAUUCAUUUACCGUGGGUCCCACCAGCUAUGUAGGAAUAACCUAUCUUAUUUAUAAAAGCUUUGAUACAUGCAAAAUAUUCGAAAACAAUGUCCGAACAUAUAAUGUUCGCCCCAAAAUAUAGCAAAGACCACAAAAAUGCCAUAAAAAGUACAUUAAGGUCAAAAUUUGGAGUAGGAAAAAAAUCAAUAGGAGAAUUCCAUUUUCCUUCCCUCAUUCAUCGGAGAGCUCUCUUUGGGCAUUCCAAAAAGGUAUCACAUGCCAAGUUUGGCCUCACGGUCUAANAGUUAUAGAGUAAUACAUUUUUAACAAAAAAAAAAGAAAAAAACCGAAAACAAAGAGGGAUGCAACACGAAGACUUUCCUGGAGGUCACCCAUCCUAGUACUACUCUCGCCCAAGUACACUUAACUGCGGUGUUCUGAUAGGAUCAAGUGCAUUAGUGCUGGUAUGAUCGCAUCAGUUACUACAUGCAAUGCAAUCAUAUAUAUUCUUUUUUGAAGACUUUAUGAUCCAUUUGCCGUAGGUCCCACCAGCUAUGUAGGAAUACCCUAUCUUGUUUAUAAGAGCUUUGAUACAUGCAAAAUAUUCGAAAACAAUGUCCGAACAUAUAAUUUUUGUCCCGUAAUAUAGCAAAGAUCACGAAAAGGCCAGAAAAAAUACAUUUCGGUCAAAAUUUGGAGUAGAAAAAAAGCCCUUCCUCAUUCAUUGGACAGCUCUCUUUGGGCUUUCCGAAAAGGUAUCACAUGCCAAGUUUGGCCUCACGGUCUAAACCUUAUAGACUCAUACAUUUUUCACAAAAAAAAGAAGAGAAAAACCAAAAAAAAGAGUGAUUAAACACGAGGAUUUUCCUGGAGGUCACCCAUCCUAGUACUACUCUCGCCCAAGCACGCUUAACUGCGAANNNNNNNNNNNNNNNNNNNNNNNNNNNNNNNNNNNNNNNNNNNNNNNNNNGUGUUACUACAUGCAAUGUAAUCGUAUCUAUUCUUUUUUAAAGACUUUAUGAUCCAUUUGCCGUGGGUCCCACCAGCUAUGUAGGAAUAUCCUAUAUUCUUUAUAAGAGCUUUGAUACAUGCAAAAUAUUCGAAAACAAUGUCCGAACAUAUAAUUUCCCCCCCGUAAUAUAGCAAAGAUCACGAAAAGGCCCAAAAAAGUACAUUAAGUUUAAAAUUUGGAGUAGAAAAAAAACCAAUAGAAAAAUUCCAUUUUCCUUCCUCAGUCAUCGAAGAGCUCUCUUUGGGCUUUCUGAAAAGGUAUCACAUGCCAAGUUUGGCCUCACGGUCUAAAAGUUAUAGAGUCAUACAUUUUUAACAAAACAAAAAGAGAAAAACCGAAAAAAACAGGGAUGCAACACGAGGACUUUCCUGGAGGUCUCCCAUCCUAGUACUACUCUCGCCCAAGCACCCUUAACUGCGUAGUUCUGAUGGGAUCCGAUGCAUUAGUGCUGGUAUGAUCGCAUCUGUUACUACAUGCAAUGUAAUCGUAUCUAUUCUUUUUUAAAGACNUUUAUGAUCCAUUUGCCGUGGGUCCCACCAGCUAUGUAGGAAUACCCUAUCUUCUUAAUAAGAGCCUUGAUAAAUGCAAAAUAUUGGAAAACAAUGUCCGAACAUAUAAUGCCCCCCCCCCCGUAAUAUAGCAAAGAUCACGAAAAUGCCCAAAAAAGUACAUUUAGGUCAAAAUUUGAGUAGAAAAAAAAACAAUAGAAGAAUUCCAUUUUCCUUCCUCAUUUAUCGGAGAGCUCUCUUUGGGCUUUCCGAAAAGGUAUCACAUGACAAGUUUGGCCUCACGGUCUAAAAGAUAUAGAGUCAUACAUUAUUAACAAAACAAAAUAGAGAAAAACCGAAAAAAAAGAGGGAUGCAACGCGAGGACUUUCCGGGAGGUAAUCUAUCCUAGUACUACUCUCGCCCAAGCACCCUUACCUGCGGAGUUCUGAUGGGAUCCGGUGCAGUAGUGCUGGUAUGAUCGCAUGUGUUACUACAUGCAAUGCAAUCAUAUAUAUUCUUUUUUGAAGACUUUAUGAUCCAUUUGCCGUAGGUCCCACCAGCUAUGUAGGAAUACCCUAUCUUGUUUAUAAGAGCUUUGAUACAUGCAAAAUAUUCGAAAACAAUGUCCGAACAUAUAAUUUUUGUCCCGUAAUAUAGCAAAGAUCACGAAAAGGCCAGAAAAAAUACAUUUCGGUCAAAAUUUGGAGUAGAAAAAAACCCCUUCCUCAUUCAUUGGACAGCUCUCUUUGGGCUUUCCGAAAAGGUAUCACAUGCCAAGUUUGGUCUCACGGUUUAAAAGUUAUAGAGUCAUACAUUUUUCACAAAAAAAAGAAGAGAAAAAACAAAAAAAAGAGUGAUGAAACACGAGGACUUUCCUAGAGGUCACCCAUCCUAGUACUACUCUCGCCCAAGCACGCGUAACUGCGAAGUUCUGAUGGGAUCUGGUGCAUUAGUGCUGGUAUGAUCGCAUCUGUUACUACAUGCAAUGCAAUCGUAUCUAUUCUUUUUUGAAGAUUUUAUGAUCCAUUUGCAGUGGGUCCCACCAGCUAUGUAGGAAUACCCUAUCUUGUUUAUAAGAGCUUUGAUACAUGCAAAAUCUUCGAAAACAAUGUCCGAACAUAUAAUUUUCGCCCCGUAAUAUAGCAAAGAUCACGAAAAUGCCAAAAUAGUACAUUAAGGUCAAAAUUUGGAGUAGGAAAAAAAACCCUUCAUCAUUCAUUGGAGAGCUCUCUCUGGGCUUUCCGAAAAGGUAUCACAUGCCAAGUUUGGCCUCACGGUCUAAAAGUUAUAAAGUCAUACAUUUUUAACAAAAAAAAAAGAGAAAAACCGAAAAAAAGAGUUAUGUAACACGAGGACUUUCCUGGAGGUCACCCGUCCUAGUACUACUCUCGCCCAAACACGCUUAACUGUGGUGUUCUGAUAGGAUCAAGUGCAUUAGUGCUGGUAUGAUCGCAUCAGUUACUACAUGCAAUGCAAUCAUAUAUAUUCUUUUUUGAAAACUUUAUGAUCCAUUUGCCGUAGGUCCCACCAGCUAUGUCGGAAUACCCUAUCUUGUUUAUAAGAGCUUUGAUACAUGCAAAAUAUUCGAAAACAAUGUCCGAACAUAUAAUUUUUGUCCCGUAAUAUAGCAAAGAUCACGAAAAGGCCAAAAAAAAUACAUUUCGGUCAAAAUUUGGAGUAGAAAAAAACCCCUUCCUCAUUCAUUCGACAACUCUCUUUGGGCUUUCCGAAAAGGUAUCACAUGCCAAGUUUGGUCUCACGGUCUAAAAGUUAUAGAGUCAUACAUUUUUCACAAAAAAAAGAAGAGAAAAAACCAAAAAAAGAGUGAUGAAACACGAGGACUUUCCUGGAGGUCACUCAUGCUAGUACUACUCUCGCCCAAGCACGCUUAACUGCGAAGUUCUGAUGGGAUCUGGUGCAUUGGUGAUGGUAUGAUCGCAUCUGUUACUACAUGCAAUGCAAUCGUAUCUAUUUUUUUUUGAAGAUUUUAUGAUCCAUUUGCAGUGUGUCCCACCAGCUAUGUAGGAAUACCCUAUCUUGUUUAUAAGAGCUUUGAUACAUGCAAAAUAUUCGAAAACAAUGUCCGAACAUAUAAUUUUUGUCCCGUAAUAUAGCAAAGAUCACGAAAAGACCAGAAAAAAUACAUUUCGGUCAAAAUUUGGAGUAGAAAAAAAACCCUUCCUCAUUCAUUGGACAGCUCUCUUUGGGCUUUCCGAAAAGGUAUCACAUGCCAAGUUUGGUCUCACGGUUUAAAAGUUAUAGAGUCAUACAUUUUUCACAAAAAAAAGAAGAGAAAAAACAAAAAAAAGAGUGAUGAACCACGAGGACUUUCCUGGAGGUCACCCAUCCUAGUACUACUCUCGCCCAAGCACGCGUAACUGCGAAGUUCUGAUGGGAUCUGGUGCAUUAGUGCUGGUAUGAUCACAUCUGUUACUACAUGCAAUGCAAUCGUAUCUAUUCUUUUUUGAAGAUUUUAUGAUCCAUUUGCAGUGGGUCCCACCAGCUAUGUAGGAAUACCCUAUCUUGUUUAUAAGAGCUUUGAUACAUGCAAAAUCUUCGAAAACAAUGUCCGAACAUAUAAUUUUCGCCCCGUAAUAUAGCAAAGAUCACGAAAAUGCCAAAAUAGUACAUUUAGGUCAAAAUUUGGAGUAGGAAAAAAAAACCUUCAUCAUUCAUUGGAUAGCUCUCUCUGGGCUUUUCGAAAAGGUAUCACAUGCCAAGUUUGGCCUCACGGUCUAAAAGUUAUAAAGUCAUACAUUUUUAACAAAAAAAAAAGAGAAAAACCGAAAAAAAGAGUUAUGAACCACGAGGACUUUCCUGGAGGUCACCCGUCCUAGUACUACUCUCGCCCAAACACGCUUAACUGCGGUGUUCUGAUAGGAUCAAGUGCAUUAGUGCUGGUAUGAUCGCAUCAGUUACUACAUGCAAUGCAAUCAUAUAUAUUCUUUUUUGAAGACUUUAUGAUCCAUUUGCCGUAGGUCCCACCAGCUAUGUAGGAAUACCCUAUCUUGUUUAUAAGAGCUUUGAUACAUGCAAAAUAUUCGAAAACAAUGUCCGAACAUAUAAUUUUUGUCCCGUAAUAUAGCAAAGAUCACGAAAAGGCCAAAAAAAAUACAUUUCGGUCAAAAUUUGGAGUAGAAAAAAACCCCUUCCUCAUUCAUUGGACAGCUCUCUUUGGGCUUUCCGAAAAGGUAUCACAUGCCAAGUUUGGUCUCACGGUCUAAAAGUUAUAGAGUCAUACAUUUUUCAGAAAAAAAAGAAGAGAAAAAACCAAAAAAAGAGUGAUGAAACACGAGGACUUUCUUGGAGGCCACCCAUCCUAGUACUACUCUCGCCCAAGCACGCUUAACUGCGAAGUUCUGAUGGGAUCUGGUGCAUUAGUGAUGGUAUGAUCGCAUCUGUUACUACAUGCAAUGCAAUCGUAUCUAUUCUUUUUUGAAGAUUUUAUGAUCCAUUUGCAGUGGGUCCCACCAGCUAUGUAGGAAUACCCUAUCUUGUUUAUAAGAGCUUUGAUACAUGCAAAAUAUUCGAAAACAAUGUCCGAACAUAUAAUUUUCGCCCCGUAAUAUAGCAAAGAUCACGAAAAUGCCGAAAUAGUACAUUAAGGUCAAAAUUUGGAGUAGGAAAAAAAAACCUUCCUCAUUCAUUGGAGAGCUCUCUUUGGGUUUUCCGAAAAGGUAUCACAUGCCAAGUUUGGCCUCACGGUCUAAAAGUUAUAAAGUCAUACAUUUUUAACAAAAAAAAAAAGAGAAAAACCGAAAAAAAGAGUUAUGCAACACGAGGACUUUCCUGGAGGUCACCCGUCCUAGUACUACUCUCGCCCAAACACGCUUAACUACGGUGUUCUGAUAGGAUCAAGUGCAUUAGUGCUGGUAUGAUCGCAUCAGUUACUACAUGCAAUGCAAUCAUAUAUAUUCUUUUUUGAAGACUUCAUGAUCCAUUUGCCGUAGGUCCCACCAGCUAUGUAGGAAUACCCUAUCUUGUUUAUAAGAGCUUUGAUACAUGCAAAAUAUUCGAAAACAAUGUCCGAACAUAUAAUUUUUGUCCCGUAAUAUAGCAAAGAUCACGAAAAGGCCAGAAAAAAUAAAUUUCGGUCAAAAUUUAGAGUAGAAAAAAACCCCUUCCUCAUUCAUUGGACAACUCUCUUUGGGCUUUCCGAAAAGGUAUCACAUGCCAAGUUUGGCCUCACGGUCUAAAAGUUAUAGAGUCAUACAUUUUUCACAAAAAAAAGAAGAGAAAAACCAAAAAAAAGAGUGAUGAAACACGAGGACUUUCCUGGAGGUCACCCAUCCUAGUACUACUCUCGCCCAAGCACGCUUAACGGCGGUGUUCUGAUAGGAUCAAUUACAUUUGUGCUGGUAUGAUCGCAUCAGUUACUACAUGCAAUGCGAUCAUAUAUAUUCUUUUUUGAAGACUUUACAAUCCAUUUGUCGUAGGUCCCACCAGCUAUGUAGGAAUCCCCUAUCUUGUUUAUAAGAGCUUUGAUACAUGCAAAAUAUUCGAAAACAAUGUUCGAACAUAUAAUUUUUCGCCCCGUAAUAUAGCAAAGAUCACGAAAAGGCCAGAAAAAGUACAUUUAGGUCAAAAUUUGGAGUAGAAAAAACCCCCCCUUCCUCAUUCAUUGGAGAGCUCUCUUUGGGCUUUCCGGAAAGGUAUCACAUGCCAAGUUUGGCCUCACGGUCUAAACCUUAUAGACUCAUACAUUUUUAACAAAAAAAAGAAGAGAAAAAACGAAAAAAAGAAGGAUACAACACGAGGACUUUCCGAGAGGUUACCCAUCUUCGUACUACUCUCGCACAAGUACGCUUAACUGCGGAGUUCUGAUGGGAUCUGGUGCAUUAGUGCUGGUAUGAUCGCAUCUGUUAUUACAUGCAAUGCAAUCGUAUCUAUUCUUUUUUCAAGACUUUAUGAUCCAUUUGCCGUGGGUCCCACCAGCUACGUAGGAAUACCCUAUCUUGUUUAUAAGAGCUUUGAUACAUGCAAAAUAUUCGAAAACAAUGUCCGAACAUAUAAUUUUCGUCCCGUAAUAUAGCAAAGAUCACAAAAAGGCCAGAAAGAGUACAUUUACGUCAAAAUUUGGAUAGAAAAAAAACAAAUAGAAGAAUUCCAUUUUGACUUCCUCAUUCAUCGGAAAGCUCUCUUUGGGCUUUCCGAAAAGGUAUCACAUGCCAAGUUUGGAAUCACGGUUUAAAAGUUAUAGAGUCAUACAUUUUUAACAAAAAAUAAAGAGAAAACCCGAAAAAUGAGGGAUGCAACACGAGGACUUUUCGGGAGGUCACCCAUCGUAGUACUACUCUCGCCCAAGCACGCUUAACUGUAGAGUUCUGAUGGGAUCCGGUUCAUUAUUGCUGGUAUGAUCGCAUCCGUUACUACAUGCAAUGCAAUCGUAUCUAUUCUUUUUUGAAGACUUUAUGAUCCAUUUGCCGUGGGUCCCACCAGCUAUGUUGGAAUACCCUAUCUUGUUUAUAAGAGCUUUGUUACAUGCAAAAUAUUCGAAAACAAUGUCCGAACAUAUAAUAUUUGCCCCGUAAUAUAGCAAAGAUCACGAAAAGGCCAGAAAACCUAUAUUAAGUUCAAAAUUUGGAGUAGAAAAAAACCAAUAGAAGAAUUCCAUUUUCCUUCCUCACUCAUCGGAGAGCUCUCUUUGGGGCUUUCCGAAAAGGUAUCACAUGCAAAGUUUGGCCUCACAGGCUAAAAGUUAUAGAGUCGUACAUUUUUAACAAAAAAAAAAAGAGAAAAGCCGAAAAAAAGAAGGAUGCAACACAAGGACUUUCCGGGAGGUCAGCCAUCCUAAUAUUACUCUCGCCCAAGCACGCUUAACUGUAGAGUUCUGAUGGGAUCCGGUGCAUUAGUGCUGGUAUGAUCGCAUCUGUUACUACAUGCAAUGCAAUCGUAUCUAUUCUUUUUUUAAGACUUUAUGAUCCAUUUACCGUGGGUCCCACCAGCUACGUAGGAAUAACCUAUCUUAUUUAUAAGAGCUUUGAUACAUGCAAAAUAUUCGAAAACAAUGUCCGAACAUAUAAUUUUCGUCCCGUAAUAUAGCAAAGAUCACAAAAAGGCCAGAAAGAGUACAUUAAGGUCAAAAUUUUGGAGUAGAAAAAAAAACCCUUCCUCAUUCAUUAAAGAGCUCUCUUUGGCAUUUCCGAAAAGGUGUCACAUGCCAAGUUCGGCCUCACGGUCUAAAAGUUAUAGAGUCAUACAUUGUUAACAAAAAAAAAGAGAAAAACCGAUUAAAAGAGUUAUGCAACACAAGGACUUUCCUGGAGGUCACCCGUCCUAGUACUACUCUCGCCCAAGCACGCUUAAAUGCGGAGUUCUGAUGGGAUCCGGUCCAUGAGUGGUGGUAUGAUCACAUCCGUUACUACAUGCAAUGCAAUCGUAUCUAUUAUUUUUUGAAGACUUUAUGAUCCAUUUGCCGUGGGUCCCACCAGCUAUGUAGGAAUACCCUAUCUUGUUUAUAAGAGCUUUGAUACAUCCAAAAUAUUCGAAAACAAUGUUGGAACGUAUAAGUUUCGCUCAGUAAUAUAGCAAAGAUCACGAAAAGGCCACAAAAAGUACAUUAAGGUAAAAAUUUAGAGUAGGAAAAAAAAACAAUAGGAGAAUUCCAUGUUCCUUCCUCAAUCAUCGGAGAGCUCUCUUUGGGCUUUCCAAAAAGGUAUCACAUGCCAAGUUUGGCCUCACGGUCUAAAAGUUAUAGAGUCAUACAUUUUUAACAAAAAAAAAUAGAGAAAAACCAAAAAAAAGAGGGAUGCAACACGAAGACUUUCCUGGAGGUCACCCAUCCUAGUACUACUCUCGCCCAAGCACGCUUAACUGCGGUGUUCUGAUAGGAUCAAGUGCAUUAGUGCUGGUAGGAUCGCAUUCGUUACUACAUGCAAUGCAAUUAUAUAUAUUCUUUUUUGAAGACUUUAUGAUCCAUUUGCGGUAGGUCCCACCAGCUAUGUAGGAAUACCCUAUCUUGCUUAUAAGAGUUUUGAUACAUGCAAAAAUAUUCGAAAACAAUGUCCGAACAUAUAAUUUUUGUCCCGUAAUAUAACAAAGAUCACGAAAAGGCCAAAAAUAGUACAUUUCGGUCAAAACAUGGAGCAGAAAAAAAACCCCUUCCUCAUUCAUCGGAGAGCUCUCAUUGGGCUUUCCGAAAAGAUAUCACAUGCAAAGUUUGGCCUCACGGUUUAAAAGUUAUAGAGUCAAAUAUUUUUAACAAAAAAAAGAGAGAAAAACCGAAAACAAAGAGGGAUGCAACACGAGGACUUUCCGGAAGGUCACCCAUCCUAGUACUACUCUAGCCCAAGCACGCUUAACCGCGGAGUUCUGAUAGGAUCCGGUGCAUUAGUGCUGGUAUGAUCGCAUCAGUUACUACAUGCAAUGCAAUCAUAUAUAUUUUUUUUGAAGACUUUAUGAUCCAUUUGCCGUGGGUCCCACCAGCUAUGUAGGAAUACCUAUCUUGUUUAUAAGAGCUUUGAUACAUGCAAAAUAUUUGAAAACAAUGUCCGAACGUAUAAUCUUCGUCCCGUAAUAUAGCAAAGAUCACGAAAAGGCCAGAAAAAGUACAUUAAGGUCAAAAUUUUGACUAGAAAAAAAAAACAAUAGAAAAAUUCCAUUGUCCUUCCUCAUUCAUCGGAGAGUUCUCUUUGGGCUUUCCGAAAAGGUAUCACAUGCCAAGUUUGGCCUCACGGUCUAAAACUUAUAGAAUCAUACAUUCUUAACAAAAAAAAAAAAAAAACCGAAAAAAAGAAGAAUGCAACACAAGGACUUUCCAGGAGGUCAACCAUCCUAGUAGUACUCUCGCCCAAUCACGCUUAACUGCAGAGUUCUGAUGGGAUCCGGUGCAUUAGUGCUGGUAUGAUCGCAUC